UUGGAUUGUCCUCUGCUUCUGCUUCUGCUCCUACUUCCAACAGUUUGCCUACUUUGUUUGGAGCAUCCACAGUUUCUGCUCCAACUACCAACAGCGCAUCGGGGUUUGCAAUAUCCAAUGGUGCAUCAUCAACUGGUGUGUUCCCCUUUACGUCAUUUGCAACUACUGCCACAUCUCAACCUGCAUUUGGUAACUCCAAUCCUAUGGGCUUUUCUACAGCUCCGUCUGGUAAUAAUGAUCAAAUGAGCAUGGAAGACAGCAUGGCUGAGGACACUGUUCAUGCAUUACAACCCACAGUUGCAGCCUUUGGUCAACAGCCUGUCUCAGCUCCUCAAUCUACACCCACGUUCCAGUUCACCCAGCAACCUGUGUCAACCCCUCAAACCCCCUUUGUAUUUGGAGGUUCCUCCAAUGGCUUCCCGUUUCAGAGCCAACAAAACCAAUCCAACUCACAGAAUCCUUCCCCAUUUCAGCCUGUCAAUAGUUUGGCCAACGCGCAGAACCCUUCACCAUUUCAGGGUUCUAAUAGUCUAGGUUUGCCCACCAGUAGCUUCUCACUGGGCGCCCCUGACAAGUCUAAUAGAAGGAUUGUGAAGGUUAACCGUAGCAAGAACAGGAAGAAGUAGGGAGAAGUAGUUGGAUUGGUUUACGAAUGAGGGCAUAACUGCGCUUGUCAGCUUCCAAAUAUCAGAUACAUUUACUUUUCCUUUCCAUUAUUCUUAGGUGAAAAUUUUCGUGGUUGCCAUGAGAGGGCGUAUUCACAUUUUAUACCGGUUUUGUAGUUUGAACACUCGAUCCAUUAUUUGUAACGUUACAUGUAUGCUUAUUUUGUUAGUAUAUGAUGUAUGUCUCAGCCUUGUUGUGCUGUUCUCCACCAUUUUCUGUAGCUAUUUGUAACAUAAUUGUAAUGGGUCGGAUUGUGUCCUCUACAGGCUGCUACUGCUUUUACGCCAGCAAUUCGUUUAUCAAGUAUUUUCAGUCUUUGUAGUUUUUGUAUUUCGGGUGUUUGCUUCUACAAAUUGGUUGUAGGCGUAACUAGCUAGCGUCAAAAAGGUGAACCCAUACGCCCUCCGGUCUUCACCUAUAAUAUUUUCUGUUAGAGACAAUUAAGGAUUGGCUGAAAUCAAGCUAUAACAUGAUUGAUUUACAAAAAAAGUCUUUUUCUUGUAUGCUCCUAAUUACUAUAAAAUUUAUUGGUCUCUACACACUUCAUUUUCUUCCGAGUCCAUAGUCCCUUGUGCACUCCUCUGUUCACUCGUCUCUCUAGCACAAUCGCCUAGGUUAUCCCUCCUCCAUUUUGGAUCGUUUAGGAUCCACUUGGCACUCCUUCAAUUAGCUCAUGCAAAUAUUUGCAAAUAGAGAAUAUCAACCAUUCUCGACUUCUAUGUAAUCCGUUUAGAGUAGUUGAAUCAUAAUAUUUAUUGUACAUUUUAUUUUACGAACCAAGACCUCUAAUACUACGGUGAGAAAAGAAAUAGAAUGAAAGUAACAGCUCAACAACAAAACCAUAAAUAUGCAAAGUAAAAUAGUAAUUUAGGGAGGAAAGUUUAGCUCACGACGAUUAAUAAAAGGAAAAAAGAGAAGGAAGAAGCGAAGCAGGUUCAAUAUCAAAUGUGGAGGAAAUUAUCAGUAGGGUUUGCUGCACUGACGCAGCAGCAGCUAUGUUGGCGCCACUCCACGGCCACGGCCACUGCUGUGAACUCGAUGCUCCUCCGCUCCCUGAAAGAGCACUAUCUGGAAGUGUCCAAAAUGACCCCUCCCCCUAAAGUGAACCCUCCAUCGCCUUUCACCGUCGUCAAGGGCGCCCUCGACGGCACCGGCCCCGUCCUCAGGCGCAGCUACGGCGACGAAGAAAUCAGCAUAGCCGUGAUGCGAUUGGCCAAUAUUAUUCCCGACGCCGACGCCGACGCCGACGACAUCAACCAGUUGUUCAUACACGUGGACGUUUCGAAGCCCAGCGAGAAGGAGUCUCUGCUUUUCCUCUGCGCCCUGUAUCCGGACGCCUUAGGCAUUCACUCUGUCUCUAUGAGGCGCAUGGCUGAACCCUCUGCGCUUCGUUCCUCUGCUCUUCGUUAUAACGGCCCUCGUUUUGAGUAUGUUCCCUAAUUUAUUCUAGCACAGCACACCUCGUUUGGUAUAUAUGAUGUAUGUCCAUGUGUUACAAUUACCACUCCCAUUCCCCGAAUUUGCACCAACUUAGAACUGAAUACUUCUUACACUGGAAGUACGAACUCUGUAAAUAUCUUCUCCAAUGUUUUGUCUAACUUUGAACCAGACUUUAUUGCUUCUGAGCAGUAUUCAUUUGUUAAAAAUGUUUCAAUUGAUUUGUAUGCUAAUUCCUAACAAAUUGUACUUGGUAUAGAAGAACCCCGAAAAAGAAAAAGACAAGGAAAAAAAAAGUUAUUCUCAAUGUUCUGCCCGGACUUAAGUGGUUGAUUUUUCUUAUUUUAUUAAUUAAUACCAUGAUGUCUUCUCCAGCUCAACAAUGACAAUGUUCUGUUGAAUGGUUCCGUGAAGAGGUUAUAAUUCUCAGAAACAAUGACAAGCUAAAGUUUGGGGUUUUCUUCACCGUUAUGCGCUCCAACAGCUUCUUGAUAUUGAUUAUGCGUAUAUAACACAACUCUGUUAACCCUUUUUUCUUUUAAAUCUAGUUUUCUAAAAUUUAGUUUGAUUCUAGGUAUUAUGCAUAUGCUAUUGCUUGGAAUGGUUCAGCCACUUGUCACAAUGUGUAAGGUGGUGUACCUUGAGUUAUUUGACUGUUUUCAUUAUAACUUGAUUUUUUCCUUCCUGAAUUCUUUAUAUCUCUUAUUUAUUCUUUUAUCUUUCAAUUUUUAGUUUUUAUGUUACUUCAGAAUAAAUCAGAUAUGUAGAAUGAGGUAUUCCUGAUAAACUGAUACAAUGUUUGGGUUGACUUGUUUGCCAAUUGACAGAGAUCUUGAUGAAGGGAUGAGGGAUGCAUUCCACAGCUACAUAGAAGAGCGGGGUGUGGGUGAUAGUCUUUUUCCAUUUCUUCAAGCUUGGCUUUAUGUAAAAGACCAUCGUAAUCUCAUGCGCUGGUUUAAAUCAGUAGGAUCAUUCGUUAAUGAAACCAAGUCAGUUUAAGAUUCUUAGCUUCAGGUCAUCUAGAAAAGGGAAAAAAAAACAUGUAUUUAGCAGUUCCAAUGCUAAGUUUUUCCCUCAACACUAAUUUGUCCUAGUAAGAUUUGUUUAGAAGUUCUGUGGUGUUUGGCUCUUUUUGAGUUAUUUGUGUUACAUUUGAUAUGGUAGUGCAGAGUCCUAUCCAAUAUACCCCUCUUUGAAAAAUAUUAUCCGCUGGUUUUUCUCAUAUGUAUUCCAUGCCAUCUGUGGUCAAAUUGUUUGAUUUGUUUUCCGGUGAUAUUACUAGAACGAAUCCUGUAGUGCAGUGUAUUCUCUUCUGUUUUCCUGGUUAAUACACACUGCUGAAGGAGAGAUUUCAGCAUAGCAAAUUCUAGAGAAAAUCUUGAGCAGUAAUGCAGGAUUGUUGGGACUUGCCAAACUUUUGGAGUAAUUAAAUUGCAUAGUUUGCAUCAAAUUAAUGUGCAAGCCUAUUUCUUCGUAUGCAAGGUUCAAUGGUUUAAAGAGAAAGUGAAAAUCAAAUGGUCUGUGACAACUUAUAAAUCUUCUUGAUGAUUUUUACAGUCAAAUUUGAUGACCCUAGAAGUGAAGAGGCUAUGGUAGCUUCUAUGAAUAACUCGGGGAAUAGUCUUUACGGUUCUAGAAUAAAUUUGUUAUUGCGAGUUUUAACCAUGGUAUGGUCAGAUUAAUUGCUGGUUCUUUUAGCGUAUGUACGGGAUGAUUCUAUCAAAUUCCACAAACCCCAAUGCCGAGUCUUUCAUCUUUUCAGCUCCGAAGAGCCGAAGCAGGUUUCAAUUUUUUGGGUGAAUGAGACUAGCCCUCACCUCUUGCACAGUUGCACGCUUGCCCAGCAAAGACAUAAGUUACACCAGAGGCAGCUAUGUCCCUUAUUGUAACAAUCCUAUGAUCAUUAUGGUAAAGCGAACAUUUACAUGUGUGUAUAUAAUUCCUUUGGGUGGACAGGUAAAGAAUCAAUUUUAGUUGAACCUCAAUAUAGCCGGAUAGCUAUAUCACCUGUAUGUAUCUGAACUGAAGUGAAGAGACUCAAGAGACAGACCUGUACACUGUCAUCAUGUCAAUUCCACUUGAUGGUAGUCUUAGAGUAUUAGCAGCUGUAAAACUGUCAUCUAUGGUAGUCUUCUUCAUCAUCUGAUAUCUCAAUCUCUGAAGAUACCUUGAGCAAUUCAGUUAAAUAACAUAAUUUCAAAUAUUGGUUUGGAGUAGUGAAAAAGGCAGCAAGAAUUUCCAAAUUUCUUCGAAAAAUUUGCUUGGUGUAGUAUGUUGGAGUUACUGCCUCUGUAUGGGUGAUUGAGUGAGCAUUUUGUUCUCAGGCACCAUGUUGAUAGGAUUCUUCAGACUUCAUAAGAACAACGUUUAUACUUGAUGCUUGAGAAGAAGGACAGAGCCUUAAAUACAGUUUUGUUUAAAGCCCGAGCCCAUAUAUUCAUCACUGGCCCAGACCCGUAACUAGAACAAAACCUCAAGUACAGAAGACCUUCAGCGUUCUUCCGUUCUUCAAUGUCAGACUCAACAUGUCAAAGGGAUUCAGGCGUCCAGUUCUGGAGGGAUCGAAUUGCUGCUUUUCUCUUUUGAAUUUUGCUUCGGCUAACUUCUGAAGCAACACAAGGUAUGUUUGACAACUUACACUUCAAUUUUUGCAUCAGGAAGGGUUGUCGUUUGGAUAUACGAAUGGGUUUUCAUACUUGAUUGAAUUGCAAUCACCUUGUUCUUUAUAUAAAUUCUGCAUAUAUUUGGGCUCUUCUGUGGUUUGGUUUGUGCGUUUUGAUUCAUGAGGUUGAGAAUUGUGUUCAUGUGGCUUGUAUGAUAUAAUGAACACCCUUUUCCUUGCGAUGGAUGUGGGCUUGGAAUAAUCCUAUGUUGCUGCGGUAGAUGUGGAGCUAUAAUUCAGAAUAAGCAAACCCCCCUAAAAUAUGAACUUCAGUCUUGUUAUGUUUUUCACAAUUAAGAUGCCAAGUUAAUCAGUUCAAAAAGGUAAUCUGGAACAUUUGGUUAUUAACAUUGUAGAGUGAUUUUCUGGAAAUCGUAUUGUUAAUUGUGUAAUUUUAGAUGCAGAACAAUAUUACAUGUAGUCUCUAGAUUCUUAUUUGAUGCAUUGAAACUUUUCUCUAUCUAAACUUUUCUCUAUCUGUAUUAAUUACUAGUGCUAUUGUAAUUCUGUUUUAUUUUGGAAAAGAGAUUAUAAUCUUCAAGUUGGAAAAGGGAUUAUUUGGAUUAUAAUCUUCCGUUUUACUAGGUAAUUUAUAAAUCUUUUAUGGUCAUUGUUUUUGGGUAUGCGCAUAUAUGUUGUAUCAGUUCAAUGUGAGCAUAAUAGACCAGGAAAUAGCUAGAAGAAACAUGCUCUUCUAUUAAACUUAAAAGGUUUUGAAUCUUUUCAUGAAUAAUGGAACAUGUUCCAUGAGAAUUGAAACUCCAUGUUCUGCAGUAGAAAUGACACUCAAUACAAGAUGCAUUUCUUUCUGGCAAACGAAUCCCAUGUUUUGAGAUUUCAGUUAUAAUUGGCUGAAUGACUUACGGAGUCAGACCGCAGAAUCAUACUUGAGUACGAACAAAGGCACAUUCAUGCUUGUAUUGCACAUACUCAUUAACCAUUCAAAUAUAUGGUACGGUCUAGGCUUUUCUGAUGUUUUAGAAUUAUGAACCAACUGAAUCUAAGAAACCAAAUUGACGGCACUGUUAGGGGAAAAUGUAUUAAGGAGAAGGGGUCUACUGUGUCGUUUUCAUCAGCCAACUCUGAUAUCUAGUUCUGCUGUAACUCAAGAUGUUGCUAAUCAAUGUAUUAUGUUCUUCUCUUUCUGAACGAACACAUAUAUGUUAAGAUAUUGAUGUUCAUGUGUUUAGGUUAGUAUGAAAAAUAUCUGUUAUUGGAUGAUGAUUUAGUAUCUGCAUCAUUAUGAUUUCAGUCUAAUAAGCUUUGGGCUUUCAUACAAUGCAAAUCAUGAAUUAGUUUUGAUUUGGAAACAAAACAAGAAAAUCAAUUUUGGAUGCAGUUUUGUUUAUAGUUGAUGCUUCAGAAGAACAGAGCCUUAAAUACAGUUUUGUCUAAAGCCGGAGCCUAUAUAUUCAUCACUGGCCCAGACAUGGGGAGCAGUUGAAAAGCAAAUUCAACUGCAGAGACUUUAGCAUCUUUAGUAGGAAUACUGUGGAGAUCGAUUGAUGCAAAUGUUGGGGAUACUGUUGAGUUGUUGCCUUGUAAUCCUACUUACUGAACUAAGGGAGUUUAAAGUUGUUAACACUAAUUAGAUUGUUGCCUACUGAGCUACUGUGCUGGGUUUAGUAGGGGAUUUUAUUUUAAGACUAGCAGCCGUACUUUAUUGUUUAGUAACACUCAAGCUAGAAGAUUCAUAUGUGAAAGACUUAUUAUUUGUUUGGUCUACUGGAGUCUGCCUAUUGAGUGCUGACUGGAUAAUGAUUUACUCUCACAUGUCAUAACCAUAACCCCGGCAAAGGUCGGUUCUAUCUGAUUCUUCGUAUGAUGCCAACUAUCUACUUAUCUGGCUUUUGUCUUCUGAAAUGUCAUGUUGUAGCUACCAUUACUAUGGCUUAAAACUAAAUAAUACCCAUGUUAAAUCCUCCAUCUUGAAACAUUGUAUGUGUUCUCCGGCAUAAGGUUGAUUAAAUGCUAGUAUGUUCUUGAAGAACUAUCUUGAACUCAGGAAAUACAAACUUGCAGAAUGGUUAAAUUUUGACAAAUUAUGAUUGCUUGUCCGUUGUCUACCCUUAUAACUGGCAUCACAAGUAUCCCUGUGUCUUACUUAUUUGGCUAUAAGGGACUAUGCAUAGCCAAUAUUGCAAGUUUCUGUAUCAUCACCUCAGUUGAGUUAUUUUGUAUACUGCAUCCUAUGCCAGAGGUCGACGAAAAGUCUGAAAGGAGACAUGUUUGGAAAGUUCAUUUUGUGUCUUCUCAUCAUCCUAUGCUCUUCUUAAGUUCAUUGUGUUGAUACUGUUACUAUUAUUGUUGUCUUAAGUAAAUGCUUCCCAUAUUGAAUGCUCCAUGAAGUAUUUUGUUCUCAGGCACAAUGUUGAUAGGAUUCUAGUAUCUUCAUGAUGUUGAAGAACAAUCUUCAAAUAAGAAAAUGCUGCUUCCUUCACCUCUGAAGAUACCUUGAGCAAUUCAGUUAAAUAACAUAAUUUCAAAAAUAUUGGUUUGGAGUAGUGAAAAUGGCAGCAAGAAUUUCCAAAUUUCUUGGAAAAUUUAGCUUGGUGUAGUAUGUUGGAGUUACUGCCUCUGAGUGAGCAAUGAACGCCUGUAGCAAAGACACUAGUUAUAUUUGUUGACAUUUUAGAAAUAAAACCCCAGAGCUGAGAGCAAAUGCAUCCUCGACCCAAGAUACAAACCUGCAGAAGCAUAAACCCAAUACCCGUUUACAAAACACACGGAUCCAUGUGACCCGACCCAUUUAUAUUGAUCGUGACCAAAACAAAAACCCAGAAUUGGGGAUUAGGAAUUCGAUUUUGGGAUGAUUUUGAUGGUUUUCUGUACAUGGUUAGUGCGCGAUUUUGAUUAUGAUUAUAAAUAUUGUUGCUUCUAACUCUGUUUUGCAAGCGCGGGAGCAUCCCGGUACGUUUUCAAUCUCAAUGAUUUUGUGCGAUUGAUUCGUGCAUGAAAACCUUAGAACUCGCCUGGGGAGUAGGUUGUGGUGCCCAGAUGAAACUUCAAUUUCUAAUUGUUUGAAAGAUGGCAUGCAUGAUUUGGCUGUGAUUGUAUGCUUAUGAAUGAUUCGAUGAAAUUUUGGUGAUUCUGACUACUUAAAUGUAUGAUCACGCAUAGCUUAAGAUUGAAAUUGACAGAUAUGUAUAUUUUUACUCCCAAAUCUAUAUAUGUUUCUUGAAAUAUCAAGAUUGAGCAUGAUUGGUUUUCUAGAAAUGUACAAAUACAAAUGUACUAUGUUACUUCUAUUUCUAGAAACUGAAUUUCAGUCACUGUUUUUUGGUUAAAGACAAUUGCCAUUUUGCUGUUGAUUUAUGCAAUCGGAUUGAACUUUGCUGAGUUUCGUUUUGAUAUUUGCGAUGAAAUCAAUUAAGGAUAGACUAAGGGCUUUUGUAAUUACCUACGAAUACCCAUGUAUUGUGAGGGUAUGUAGUGUGCUUAUGAGUUAUUAUGCAUAUAUGUCUCUGGCAUCUUGUAUUGUGGAAGUGGAACCACAAUUGACUUUCGGAUUCAAUGUUCUUGGUUUUGAACAAGGAAUCAGAUUGAUGACUAUGUAUAUGGAAUUAUGAAUAAGAUAGUAGUGAGCAGGUAUAUCAAUUGCUUAUUUCCUUUUGUAUUUGCUGCUAGCACAAGGUUAUGGAUAUCUGGUUAGACACUUCAUACAUAUACAUGUAUGUGUAUUGGUAUAUAUCUUACAGAUGAAUGGUUAUAGAUAUCCCUUAUCAAACAUGUCCAUUAUGUUAAUUGUUUCGGGAAGUCUAUUAUCUUGAUUAUUUGAAUUCCAUGAUUCUUGUUUUAUUGGUUUUCUAUAUGGCAAACACAUGUAAGCACUGGUUUUUCUUGCUAUGCUGUUUUGAUUUGGAUAGUUGUCUGCGAUUUCCUAUAAAGGUUAUGGAAUUGGAAUUGAGUACAAUCAGAAUUAUAAAUAGUUUAUAUUAAGUGUGGUGGGAUUCGGUCUCAUGGAUUAUGUUUUACUGCAUAAGAAUUGGCGUGUUCUCUACUGGUGUUUUGGUACAACUGUAAAUUAGAUGAGAAGUAGAAUGGCAAAGAAUUAUGAACCAACUGAAUCUAAGAAACCAAAUUGACGGCACUGUUAGGGGAAAAUGUAUUAAGGAGAAGGGGUCUACUGUGUCGUUUUCAUCAGCCAACUCUGACAUCUAGUUUCUGCUGUAACUCAAGAUGUUGCUAAUCAAUGUAUUAUGUUCUUCUGUUUAUGAACGCAUAUAUGUUAAGAUAUUGAUGUGUUUAGGUUAGUAUGAAAAAUAUCUGUUAUUGGAUGAUGUUUUAGUAUCUGCAUCAUUAUGAUUUCAGUCUAAUAAAUGGCAUCAGAGCUUCGGGCAUUCAUACAAUGUAACGCAGGAAUUAGUUUUGAUUUGGAAACAAAACAAGAAAAUCAAUUUUGGAUAAUAUAACUGGUAAUGAGAAUAUCAGUUUCUUAGGUGCAGAAAGCAACUAAACCUAUAGUAAUAGACUGUUCUCAAUGAGAUUACGUGCAUUAGACAUUCAUACUUAGUUGGACAUGGUUUUGGUAUAGCAUGAUACUAUAUAUACACAUGAAUUUGUCAUGAUAACAUGCUGGACUUGCAUAAUAAAUAAAUUGCAUUAUUCCGUUUUGUUAUUGGCCUUGAUCACAUAUUAUCAGCUUAAUCGAUUUGGACUACUAGGUCCCCUUCAAUACAUGUAGAGCAAAUAGUAACCUAGGCAAAUUAUAAAUCUUUUAUGGUCAUUGUUUUUGGGUAUGCGCGUAUAUGUCAUAUCAGUUCAAUGUGAGCAUAAUAGACCAGGAAAUAGCUAGAAGAAACAUGCGCUCUUCUAUUACACUUCAAAUGUUUUGAAUCUUUUCAUGAAUAAUGGAACAUGUUCCAUGAGAAUUGAAACUCCAUGUUCUGCAGUAGAAAUGACACUCGAUACAAGAUGCAUUUUCUUUCGGGCAAACGAAGCCCAUGUUUUGAGAUUUCAGUAAUAAUUGGCUGAAUGACUUACAGAGUCAGACUGCAGAACCAUAUACUUGAGUACGAACAAAGGCACAUUCAUGCUUGUAUUGCACAUACUGAUUAACCAUUCAAAUAUAUGGUACGGUCUAGGUAAGCCUGCUCUCCUUGUUUUAGUCGAGCAACAUUUCUCACCUUUUAUGUUGAUUUGGAAAUAGUGAAAAUGUUUUCCAGCUUUGUUUGAAAAGUAACACCAGUUGAGUAGUGAGUUUUACAUAUAUAAUAAUUCACAGUAAAUGAAAUUUAAGUGUUUGAAGAGUUGGUUUAUUUUAAUUUAUUUUUUUGAAAAUGUGUAAAGGGUGGCUUUAUCUUAAUUCCUGUAAAUUGUUGUAAUCAAACCAGGGUUAAGGUUGGGUUAAGCAGACCAGGUUUGUCGUAAUCACACCAGACAAAAAAAAAGAAAGGNNNNNNNNNNNNNNNNNNNNAAACCCAUUACAACCACAGACAAAUAUCUACGAGUCCCUCUCUCUUCUCUCUCUCUCUCUCUCACAGAGUUUUGUGGUCUGAGUGAGAUCUCUACCGCCCGCUCCGCCGUGGUUCGCUGUUCCCCCGCAAGGUACGCCUUCCCCUUUCCUUUCUCUCUCUCUCUUCGCGGCGGCGGGUUUCGGUGGUGUGGGUUUUGCCUUUCUGAUCUCGAUUAGUCCCUUGGGUAUGAUGAAGAAGAAACCAGUAAGAAUCUGAGCGAGACAUGCGUGACAUCUCAUGUCAAAUUAUUGGUGCUCUCUCUUUUCUUGAGGUUGAGGAACCAUUUUUUACUAGGGUUUCAUGCUGUCCUGCCCCGAAUUCUGAGGGGUUUUUCUUUCAUCAGUCCCUUAAAAAAAUGGUGCUCCCUCUCUUCUUUUUCUCUCUAUCUCUUCUCUUCUAACACUUGGAAGGCAAAACCCAGAAGAUUUGGCCAUGGACACCAGAGCUGUUGUUCCUCCACAACCCAGAGGUAUUCAUCGAUUUUGAUCUCACCCAAGUGCUUGUUUCUCUUUUCUGGUUCGUUAUUCUUAGUGGGUUUCGUGGUUUUGGUUAAAAGUUGUUCAAUUUUGUGUGGAUUUCUUGAAGUAAUUGUCAUUUCUUUCGUGUUUGGACUAAUGGGUUUUAGACUUUUAGGAUGAUGUGGUGUAGUUCUUGAUGGGUUUUGUAUCAGUAGAAGAAAGAUUGUUUAAAUUGAUGGGUGAUGAUGCUUGAAUUGUAGGCUUGUAGCUUGAAUUGGGGAUUGUCUUCUUGACCUGAUUAUUGGUUGGGUAGGGUUUUUCCUCUAGAUUGUGUUCUUGAUUUGAACAUUGUAUUCGUCUUGAUAUGCCUUUUGUAUUCUCAAAUUUAGAUGAUUGGGUUUUAUGGGUUUUAGUUUUCAACUGGGUUUUCCCUUGGUACUGUAUCUGGUUUAUUCAGAUACAGUACAGUUCUCUCUUUUACACACAGUUCUAAGUUCUAACCGUGGUGACAAUUGACAACCGAGGCAAUGUUACUAUGCAUUACAAUGAGUACUUACGGUAGUAUUAUCACCUUUUAAUUUGAUAUAGGAUGGAGAGGGCUAUCUGGAUUGUUCUCUAUCAGGUUAACCAUAGUUUAGAGUUGAACCAUAAUUCAAAUUGAAUUUAGUACCUCUGCACAUAUGCAUAUUGCAAUGAAUGAAACAAACAAGUUCAACUCAAGUUCAAUAUAUUACCUAUGCACCAUAGUUCAACUUAAAUUUAAAUUCUAAAACCUAAUACUUAUGUGUUGCACUGCACAUAAGGUUUGUUGACUUUCAAUUUUUAAACUUGAUCGAUUAAUCCUUCAUUUGUUGCUUGGCUAUGAUAGGGAGAAUGGUGGUUCUGAUCCAGAGUUGAUUGAGUCUGCUUCUCCUAGAAAAGUGGCUUAUAGUUUCUAUCAUAUUAGAAAUGUCAACCAGGUACCUAUCAUAUUGUUACGCUGUGUCAUCAUCUUAAACAGAUGCAACUGAUUUCUUUUUUCUUUUUGUCACAUCCAGUGUAUCUUCUCAACUGAUCAGUGCUAUCAUCUAUUUGAUUCUCUCCUUUAAUUUUCCUUAUCAUGUUGUUAACUGGGUGCUGAUGAUUUGCAGUUGCGUAUGGAUGACAUCCCAAAGCUGCUGGCAGAGUACAAACAACUACUAUCAAAUUAAUGGAGUGUCAUCCCCUUCGGUUUUGCCAUUGAUCUUGAUUAGUCCCUUGGGUCUAUGAUGAAGAAGAAACCAGUAAGAAUCUGAAUAUUGGUGCUCCCUCUUUUCUUGAGGUUGAAGAACCAUUUUUGACUAGGGUUUCAUGUUGUCCUACUCUGAAUUCUAAGGGGUUUCUUCUUUCAUCAGUCCCUUAAAAAAAUGGUGCUCCCUCUUUUCCUGGGGUUGAAGCGCCAGCUUUGAAGAUUGCUGCUCCCUCUUUUUUAGGGGUUGAAGAACCAGUUAUAUGUUGCCUUGUCUUGAAAANNNNNNNNNNNNNNNNNNNNNNNNNNNNNNNNNNNNNNNNNNNNNNNNNNNNNNNNNNNNNNNNNNNNNNNNNNNNNNNNNNNNNNNNNNNNNNNNNNNNNNNNNNNNNNNNNNNNNNNNNNNNNNNNNNNNNNNNNNNNNNNNNNNNNNNNNNNNNNNNNNNNNNNNNNNNNNNNNNNNNNNNNNNNNNNNNNNNNNNNNNNNNNNNNNNNNNNNNNNNNNNNNNNNNNNNNNNNNNNNNNNNNNNNNNNNNNNNNNNNNNNNNNNNNNNNNNNNNNNNNNNNNNNNNNNNNNNNNNNNNNNNNNNNNNNNNNNNNNNNNNNNNNNNNNNNNNNNNNNNNNNNNNNNNNNNNNNNNNNNNNNNNNNNNNNNNNNNNNNNNNNNNNNNNNNNNNNNNNNNNNNNNNNNNNNNNNNNNNNNNNNNNNNNNNNNNNNNNNNNNNNNNNNNNNNNNNNNNNNNNNNNNNNNNNNNNNNNNNNNNNNNNNNNNNNNNNNNNNNNNNNNNNNNNNNNNNNNNNNNNNNNNNNNNNNNNNNNNNNNNNNNNNNNNAUUGAAGAUCGGUGCUUCCUCAGCUAGACAUCGUUGAAGUGUUGUGUUUUGGCUCGUUGAUAAGUUAGGAUUCAGUAGUCAAAUCCAAAGUCUAGAACAGAAAGAGGACAGUGCUGUAGCUUUUCUAUAAGUUCUAGGAAAGUUGGUCUUUCAAGGUUCUAUUAGGAUUUGUAAUAGACUUAUGUCUAUUAGGUUUAGGAGUGCUAAACCAUGUUGUAUCAGCAGCCCCUAUUUUAUAUAAAAUAGGAGCUGCAGGGGGGUUUCUAAGGGUAAGAGACCGUAGAAAACCGAGGGCUUUAAGGGUGAUAGAGAGAUCUAGCAAGGGAGUUGGGGAUUAGCAUAAGGAUUUCAAUAAGUACUUGUAAUCAGGAUGUCAUUCUCCAUAGUGCUAGUGAAUCUCUCAAGAGAGAUCACAAAGUGGACGUAGGCCAGGGUUUUGUCUGAACCACUAUAAAGUUGCUGUGUGCUGUGUUUCUGUCAUCAAGUUCAUCUUUUUAGCAUUGCUUAAGUCGUAAAGUACCAGUAAAGAUCCUAGGGCGCUGACCACUAUAUGAAGGCCUUCUUUAUGGACAUACAAUUGAAGGGUAUAAUGUAGAGGUAAAGAAAAAUCAGCUUCUGAGCUCAAGAUGUUUGUUGAUAUAGUGUCUUCUUAAUACAACAAAGAGUCAUUCUCUUUGUUGUACUUUGUAGCAGAAAAGAUGGUGACGCCCCUCUUUUCUGUUAAGCCCUAGAAUUGGAAUUUUGUUGUGAGUUUUACAUUUAGAAGAAAAUUACUGGUUUAUUGCUUGCUUGAUAGCAGAAAAGAUGGCGACGCCCCUCUUCUCUGUUAAGAUUUAGAAUUGGGUUUCUGUGGUUUUAAAAUAAGGUUCUGGUUUUUCCUCUGCAUGAGUUAUAUCUUCUAUAGCAUUACAACACUACCGAUUAAAGAAAAUGAUGUGUUGCAUGGUUCCUCAAAAUACCUGUUUAUUUGUUCCUUGAUAAUCAGGUGUGAUACGGAUGUGGAUGUAUGUAUUGUCUGGGCACAACAGUUGCUAAAUUUUAGAAUAAACUUUAUGCUUAAUUAAAUAACAGACCUUGUAUUUGUACUUUGGAUAAAUCUCUAAGAUAGAUAUGGCCGCCUCGUUUUCGUCUUAAUUCUUAUCUUGUUUAUGACUCAUUGCUUAUUGAGCUGGGGUGCUCAUCUUAUAUCAUUUUUUUAUUUUUUUGUGUUACCUUAAUAUUAUCCUGCAUUAUAUUCUGUUGUUUUGGUGUAUAUGCUUGCUAGAUUAGUGUGAUUUCUCUUCUCUCAAAUCAUCAAUGGAUAUAUUUGGUGUUUAUGUUAACCCUACACUUUCUGUUAGGUGUAUUGAAAUGUGAUGAAUGUUUGGUUCAUGGAAGGAACUGGCCAUUGAGGUAGCCUUUUGAGUUGUUACUGUAUGUAAGUAUAAAUAAUUCAGCUUGUCUGUCUAUGAUAUGUUAUCCAGCAAGUUCAUUAAGGAAUUUGUUGUGUAUUGUGUUAAUUUUCUGAACACUAAUAAAGCUUCCUCUACAUCUGAGAUUAUAGGAUACAUCCUUUGACCAUAUGGUCUUGUGUCAAAUGACUGUUAUCUGGACCUUUGAUUGUAUGGAAGGGUAUCAGUUGUCCCAACUUAGUCAUGUAGCAAUAAGACUGAAUCAAAAUGCUAGAAUUGCAUUUCCUUUUAGGUUUCGAAACUCAAAGGUUUAUGAAUCAGUGUCUUCUUAGAUUGUUUUGGGCAAUAUCAGGUUUACAAGGAUAUGCCAUGUUAUGAUGGCUGUGUUGUGGCUAAAGAUAAAUAUAUAUAGGUACAUACAUAACUCGGUAUCAAAUUUAAUUGUUGUUAAGUACUUGCUGCCGGUACUUUAGCUACUAUAAAAUCUGUUAGUGUGUGUCUGUUGACCUGACAUUGGGAUUUUGCGACUCAAUUUGGACAAUGUGUCUACCCUCUUGGUUUAUAUUUAUCUGGUCAUGCACUACAUCUACAUUUAUGUAUCCUACAGUUGUGAAAUUUGAUGUUAGUCAGGACUAGUAUGAAUCAAUGAGUUAUAAUGUUGUAACUCUAGAAGCUUCCUUUUGCUUUGAUUUCCUUCCUUUCUUGGUUGUUUGUUUGGUUGCUUUGCUCUAGGGCAAGUUACACAUGUCAAGUCACUUUACAACUGCAUGUGUUUAUGGUUUGUCUAUUGUAUAGCAGGACCUUAUAUAUUGUGAAUCUAUUAUUGGCAGUGCUUGAUUAAUAUAUAGUCAUGUGAUAUAGUGAUCAAGAUACCUGGUUUGGCUAGAGUGCUAUAGGAUGGCACUGAGGUCAGUUUCAGCUUCAAUUUAUGUAAUCUGUUGGUUUUGCCUUUGGGAAAGUUUCGAGUUAAUUUUAGUAAUUUACAGCUUUAGUUCUAAGCUGAGGCAGAUUUUAAGGCUUUAUGAAUGCACUUGUGAUCAGUCUUUCAUAAAUCAUAAUGAAGUUCAUGAUUUCAUGUGUUAUUGUAGGACUUUUGAAAGUGUCUACCCUCUUUGUUUAUAUUUAUCUGGUCAUGCACUACAUCUACAUUUAUGUAUCCUACAGUUGUGAAAUUUGAUGUUAGUUAGGACUAGUAUGAAUCAAUGAGUCAUAAUGUUGUAACUCUAGAAGCUUCCUUUUGCUUUGAUUUCCUUCCUUUCUUUGUUGUUUGUUUGGUUGCUUUGGUCUCGGGCAAGUUACACAUGUCAAAUGACUUUACAACCGCUUGUGUUUAUGGUUUUUCUGUUGUAUAGCAGGACCUUAUACGUGGUUGUUGUGAAUCUAUUAUUGGCCGUGCUUGAUUAAUAUAUAGUCGGAUCAAGAUACCUGUUUUGGCUAGAGUGCUAUGUGAUGGCACUGAGGUCAGUUUCCGCUUCAAUUUAUGUAAUCUGUUGGUUUCGCAUUCGGGAAAGUUUCGAGUUGAUUUUAGUAAUUUACAGCUUUAGUUUUAAGCUUAGGCAGAUUUUAUGGCUUUAUGAAUGCACUUGUGAUCAAUCUUUCAUAAAUCAUAAUGAAGUUCAUGAUUUCAUGUGUUAUUGUAGGACUUUUGAAAGUGUUAGGCUUAGAUGAAAGGUUUAUAUAGGGGUUUCAUGGUGGUGGCCAAUAAACAGGCAAGUGAAAGUGGUGGUGUUAUCAUCUAUCACAGCCUUUGUGAUUAUCUAUCACACCCCACCACUACUAACAAUCUCAACUAAUUCUAAGAAUAAAGUCUCAACUAAUUCUGAUAUUAGUUUUAUUAGGAAGGGUUAAUUGUACAGGUAUUUGUCAGGAGAAUAUUGUGUAAAGUCUGUGUGUGCUUGCAGUGCAAGCCAUUGUCCUUUUGAAGGGAAAGUUGUGUGGGGAGAGUUUAAUAUGGAGGAUACUAUUUCUAAUGCGGCUUGAAAUUGUAUUGAUAUGAUCUUCGGCUGAAAACAGUUUUUUGGUACAAGUCAAAAAGGUGCCUUCCCAUGUUGUGGAAGGUAUGAUUUCUGAAAAUAAAUGGGAUCAGUCCCUACCUUGUCUACAACUUCAAAUGUUUAGUGUUAUGUUGGAAUGUGCGUGGUUCUGGGGAAAAGAAGUUUAGAACUGCUGUUUCUCAUUUUGUUCCUCUAUAUGAGUUUGAUGUUUUAAUUGUAUCUGAACCUAGAGUUCCUUUCUCUAGAGCUAAAAUUUUCUUCAAAAACAUGUCGUCUCUGAUGCUGCAAGUGUCUGAUGCUAGAGGUUUGCUAAUAGGAUCAGAAUCAUAGCAUGGUAGUAUGUUUGCUAAUAGGAUUGCUAAUAGGAUCAGAAUCAUCAGACACUAGAAACUCUCAUUUUAAUGGUAGUAUGUUUCAUCUUCUUCAUCAUCAGAUAUCUCAACCUCUGAAGAUACCUUGACCAAUUCAGUUAAAUAACAUAAUUUCAAAAAUUGGUUUGGAGUAGUGAAAAUGGCAGCAGGAGUUUCCAAAUUUCUUUGAAAAUUUAGGUUGGUGUAGUAUGUUGGAGUUACUGCCUCUCCAUGUUGAGAUUGAUUGAUGCAAAUUUUGGGGAUACUGUUGAGAUUGUUGCCUUGUAAUCCUACUUACUGAACUAAGGGAGUUCAAAGUUGUUAACACUAAUUUGAUUGGUACCUACUGAGCUAAUGUGCUGGUUUUAGUAGGGGAUAUCCUAUUGCAUUAAUAGUUGUAAGACUAGCAGCCUUACUUUAUUGUUUAGUAACACCCAAGCUAGAAGAAUCAUAUGUGAAAGUUUGGUCUCCUGGAGUCUGCCUAUUGAGUACUGAGUGGAUAAUGAUCUACUCUCACAUGUCAUAACCAUAACCCCGGCAAAGGUCGGUUCUAUCUUCGUAUGAUGCCAACUAUCUACUUAUCUGGCUUUUGUCUUCUGAAAUUUCAGGAGGUUGCUACUAUCACUAUGGCUUAAAACUAAAUAAUACCCAUGUUAAACCCUCCUCCUUGAAACAUUGUAUGUGUUCGUAGGCACAAUGUUGAUUGGAUGUUAGUAUGUUCUUGAAGAACUAUCUUGAACACAAGAAAUACGUUACUUGCAGAAUGGUCAAAAUUUUAACAAAAUUUUAAUUGCUUGGCCUUUGUCUACCCUUAUAACUGGCAUCAUAAGUUUCCCCUUGUCUUACUUAUUUGGCUAUAUUAAGUAUCUGCUGAAGUAAUCGGAACAUGAUUUUAUGAUCGAAGGGAUUAUGCAUAGCCAAUAUUGCAAGUUUCUGUAUCAUCACCUCAGUUCAGUUAUUUUGUAUACUGCAUCCUAUGCCAAGUCCAUGAAAGUCUGAAAGGAAACAUGUUUGGAAAGUCAUUUUGCAUCUUCUCAUCGUAAUGCUCUUCUCAUCUAGUUUGGUGAGUUCGGGCAGUUCAUUGCGUUGUUCUGUUACUAUUGUCGUUGUCUUAAGUAAAUGCUUCACAUAUUGAAUGCUCCAUGAAGCAUUUUGUUCUCAGGCACAAUGCUGAUAGGAUUCUAGUAUCUUCAUGAUGUUGAAGAACAAUCUUCAAAUAAGGGAUCAAUUGCUUUUUUGGUCCCUCAAACGGAAAGUGAACUACUCUCUUGGUGGAUCAAUUCGCUUUCUGUUUCGUAGCUGAAACCCUUCUCGGAUUCUUCAUUCUGUUUCGUAGCUUCCACGAAAUCCCAAUACUUUUUUAGUUUUUUCUUUUUGCUGAUCUAUCUCCACAUGCCACUGUGCAUACAGCUAACUAUCAUACCAGUUUCCAGGCUUCAACUUCAUCUCUUACUGGACAUGAAUGACCAUUUUGGUAGUUUUGAUAGCAUUUAGCAGCACGAAAAGCACUUUUCUAUCUUCAAAUAAAUCACUUCCUUCUAGGUAGGACGAUAAACAGGACUUCGAACUUCUGAUAGCAGCGAUAUGUCUGCAUUUCCCGAAUGGCCGAUUUCCAGCUCUAAUAAAAAGUCAUAGAAAAAAAAAAAGUGUUUUUAGUUUUGUUUGCAGUGCAAAUCCUUUGGCUUGGUCCCAAAUGCCAGCUCUUUAUUAGAGGAGAAGAUUGAAAAAGAAAAAGAAAAAAAAAGAGGAAUGUCUUAAAAGUUUUUCUUCAUAUGCGUUGAGCUCUUGUUGCUCAGAAUACGAGUAAUAACACCCUCUAAGAUUUCUCCCCGCUCUUUGUGUGACGUUCAAACGUGGUACGGAUAUACAUGCAAAGGUCAAGGCAGCAAAACUCUUCAUGUGAAAAUUAGCUACAGUAUUGCAAAGCAUCAAAAGUUCAAAAUUAGCUACAUGUUAAAAGGGAUAGUUCCGAAUUGGAUUGCAUUAUUUUCCUGAUACACCAACCAGCUCAGACGAUAAUGAUUGAUUGCGCUUAAACGAUUACCAAAUAAUUCAAAAACCAAAUUUGACUGACCGAAACUCCAAAGCAGAGCUUACAACAUUAAGAGAUAAGUGGGUAAAAUUAAUUAAUGAAUGAAUUCAAUCAUAAUUAAAUUGUUAGCAACCCUUUGUUCCUUCCCUCUCGCUUUCUCUUUAGCUUGUGAGGGUUAGGGUUUCCUUUGUAUCGAUCCCUUGCAAUCAAAGGUGAGUUGGGUGCGUAGUCUGCGUCGCAGGGUUCCAAACCCUUUCAAAAAGAUUAAAAAAAAUGAUAGCAUAUUGUAAAAGUCACCAAAACCUUGCUAUGAAAGAAGCAGAGACUUGUCUUGUAUUAAGAGUAGAUCGAGGCAAUCAAUCAUCUCCAGGACAUAGUUCUGAAACAAGCUUUACUACUCCCCACAUGGGUGCAUCAUUCUGCAGAAAUCCAUGAAUUAAGUUAAAAAAGAGUACAGUAUCAUCCUGAACAUAUAAGCAAGAAAUCAUGUCAACUUCACCACAUAUGAUGAAUCUUUUCAAUGGAAUGAAGCAAAAUUCCCAGCUUAUGGCACCAAAUCCAUUUAUUCAUCUGAGUCACUCGUAGUAUCUUGCUAUACGUAGUCAUCUUAUAUUCAUUUUCAAAGUUAUAAAACUUAUAAUCUCGUUGCAGCACGACCCACAUAUGAUAUGAGCAUGGUAGUUCCGUGGACAACCCAAAAUCAUCAAAGCAAAUAGUCGGAGCACUAAACUCACCAGGUAAACAACAUCAAAGGCUUUGCUGUAACUAUCAAUGGAAUUCUUAACAUUGUCAUUCCUGAAACAGCAGUUACAAGGUUUAGCAACUAUAUCAAUCUACAAUGAACCACAAUCUUUUCUAUAUGUCUGGCAUGUUUAACAGAUUCAAAUGUGAACCGCUAAAGAAUGAAAAUAAAAAUGAUAUUGUAACCAAAGAAGAGAAGAAAAAAAACCUAGAGCAAUGUAAAAAAGAGAGGAACGCUUACAUUACUUGGCUUAACAAUGUAAAAGACAUUAAAGAUGUAAAACAGACGUAAAACAUCACUGCAAUAAUUGUUGCAAUAUGAACCUAUUUUUAGUUUUUCCUUCUGAGGAUCUCAAUGGACACCCAUUUUAAGCAUAUCCUAUACAAAAGAAAACAUCCCACACAACUGGAAAUAUCAGAGAUGUGGUAGUUGGUCAUCCUAACCCAUACCGACCUUUUAAGCAUACCCUAUACAAAAGAAUCCAACUCCACCGAAGCACCUUAUGUCUUAUAUGCAGAGUGGGAACAUACUAAGGGUGCGCGUGUGUGUGGUGGGGGGGGUGUGUGCCGGGUGUUGUCCAGCUCCCCCUCUUAACAACAGGAAGAGUGGUGUUUGAUAAAUCAGAUUCCCUUCUGCUUAUUCUAGAAGCCAUCUCUAAUAAAGAAAAAAUCAUUUCCUUCUAUUUUUCUCGUGAAGAAAUCAGUUCUACUUAUUAUUUGAACAUUUCCUUCUAUUUUUCUCGUGAAGAAAUCAGUUCUAUCAGUUCUACCAAAUGAUUCUAGGUCCCCAAAAACAAAAUACUACAUGGGGCCAACCUGUCUCAAGAAUGUCAACAACCAUAAAUGCUCUAUAGAAAUAGAAUCAUCCAGUAACCAUCAGGCAGGUCCUGCUUAUGACUUCAUUUAACUUGGCUGUAUAGCUUUCCUUACAAAGGGAUGAUUGCUAUGAAGUGAACUAAACAAAAAGGGAUAUGAAAAUAGAACUUUAAAUUAGUCGCAAGGAAGCUGAAUGGAAGCACGCGAUCACACUUGACGGGUGGGCACCAAUUCAACGUUUUUGAAUGAAUAAGACUAUUGAAUCUACAGAACUGUCAAAUAUAUGGUUACACAAGCCUAAAAGGAAGAAAACAAAGCCCUAAUUUCAGAUGUUGUAAUCAUUGACACUAACUUUAUGCAAGUGAUGGUAUUAACUAUAAAUAUGUUAUACUUUCAAGGUCAUGCCAUUAGCAUUCUACAGAAGCUCCUAAAAGAUAAAAUUUAUACUCAUUUUAUCAAGUAAUUUCACUUUCCAGAUGCUCCUCUUAGCAGCACUAACUACUCUCAACCACACCGUCAAAUCAUGACAGUACUAUUUAGUUGCAGACUCAUAGUUCUUUGAUUAUUACCACCCAUAAGCAAAUCUUCAGAUUCAAGAAUACCUUCAACAGUAAUUUCACCAUCUUGCCUGGCUCUCUCAUUCAUAAACCACAAACUUCAACUUCAGCCUAAAACCAUUACCAGUGGGGAAUCUGAUCUACUUAAGAAAUGCCUGCCCAGUGCUCCAAAUUACCAUAACAAACCUAGUAGGCACAAGCAUGGACAUUAGAACUAUAGCCCCAUCCCAACUCACAUUUCACCAGAAAUGAUAUUUGUUCCGAAAGAGUAACUAACUUGGAGACCAGAUGAUAUUAGGCCCUAGCCGCUGCAGCCCUCCUUCUUCCAUGAGCAAUGACCAAUCAUUAGAGAAUCCUCGGAGAGCACCACAACAAUGCCCUUCACCUUCUAUUGUCGUUUGUUGUUUAUUCAGGAUAAAUCUGUCCAAGCCUGCUGCAUGUGGUGAUUUUUCACAGCCACACUAAACUUUAGAUCCCAUUUCCAGGACCCUGUCAUUCAGUAGUAGGUAAGUUCAUCACCAGACCACAUCAAAUAGAAUCUCAGUGCCACAACAUGAUGUGAAAAGAUGAGAUCAUAUAGUUAAUUUGAAAUGAAAUCUCAUUUGUGGCAUUGAGACCUCAUGGAAAUUUCACUAUUUUUAAAUCUUAACUAGUGCUAUCAUAAAUCACCAGCUUAAUUUCCUCCCAUGUUAAAUUCAGGUAUAUAGUUAAACGUCAUCUACGUUCUGAUCUACUAAAACUAGGACAAUUUUUAUUGUUCAUUAUAUACUUAUUCUAUUUGCUUGUUUAUGAGAAAACAUAAAGAACAAAUCUUUGCAUUUUCCCUUCAAGAUAGACAUAUAAACGACUAUGGUAGAGUUUAUCACUGAACAGGAAAUAUACCAACAAACCAAGAACAGAAAGCUGGGUUCCAGUAUAAACAUAUGGAAUCAGAACAACAAAAUGCUUUGGAAUGAAGCACCUUUGAUGAAGUGCAGAAGCAGUAAUGCACUCCUCGAAAACAGUGGUUAUGACAGCGACCAAAAAAAACAAAGCUUGUCAUUUUUACAUAUAGACUCUGGUUAUAUACAAUAAUGAAGUAGCGCCGUGCAUUCCUUAAACUAUACACCAAUUACGAGGGACAAGGAACUACACAAAAAAAGAAGUUAUUUUGACAGUUGCGAAUUCUGAAUUUAGAAAUAGAAGUUAUUUCACAGUUGCGAAUUCUAUGUGUUAUUGAGUGUGGAUUAGAUGUUUUACUUACAGAAAUCCCACGGAAAUUCUAUUCUCAUAGUUCAAACCAUCAGACAUCCCCAGGUCACCAAUAUGAUCACCCAAAAGAAUAAUAUUUCUUCUUGUCUUGACUAACACAUUCUCAUAAGUUGGUCCGUCUGAAUCACCUAAUUGCUCAUGAAGUGGAGCAGCCAUAUCAAGAGCAUGCUCAUUUUUAUUCAGACUAUGUAUCGUCUUCCCUGUAAAUUACAUUAAACCCAAAUAAGAAUAUGCAAAUACAAUGCCUCAUUAUGAUGAAUGAAAUUAACAUAGAGAAGUAUUUUGCACCACAUGAAAAUAAAGAAAAGAAAAAGGCAAAUGAAGAAACACGCGGAAUUCGGUAAUGCAAAUAGGCACCAAACNNNNNNNNNNNNNNNNNNNNNNNNNNNNNNNNNNNNNNNNNNNNNNNNNNNNNNNNNNNNNNNNNNNNNNNNNNNNNNNNNNNNNNNNNNNNNNNNNNNNNNNNNNNNNNNNNNNNNNNNNNNNNNNNNNNNNNNNNNNNNNNNNNNNNNNNNNNNNNNNNNNNNNNNNNNNNNNNNNNNNNNNNNNNNNNNNNNNNNNNNNNNNNNNNNNAUGAAGUACCCGGUUGUUCAUUCAAUGGCAAAAGAACUCACCUGAGCAAAAAGUUUACUUCAUAGUAUAAGACUAUAAGGUUGCAUAUGUUUAUCAUAAUAGAAAAAAAAAAAAAAAAUUGUUUAAAAAGAAAUGAAACACAAAAGGAAAGCAGAGGCUGCAAUUUUGUACCAUUUUCCAAUGGCCUCAGAGCUAGUAGCAUAUAAGCCUCCUUACAAAUGGAGGGGUGUGUUUCAAGUCCUGGGUUUAGACCAGGCAUGGAAGGGAAUGCUUACCUUUUUGUCAGCCUUUCUAAUAAAGGAAAAUACAAAAGAAGAAGAACUUUUAAGGUCAAAAGCACAUGCAAAAGAUCCUAUGAUUGCUCACACAAAUUAUUUUAUUUUAUUUUAUCUUAUUAUCGUUCUUAUUAUUAUUUCACCAACUAGCUUCUGGGAUACAAAGAAUUAUGUUUCAAUAAUAAAUAGUGAAAAUUAUGAUCAGUGUGAGAAAGAUUCAUCAGUAUUGAUUAUUGAACACCUUUAAAAGAUACAAGGCGGCCGUUUUCAUCAAAGACCAUCCUGUUGGAGACGAUCUUCACAUUUUUGAAUAAUCUGUGAACUUUCUGCCUCAGGACCUAGAAUGAUGAGAAUAGAUACACAUAAGCAUACAAUAAUUUUUGUGACAAUACAAGAGAAAAAUGGCAAUAAAACUUAACUAACCUCCUCAAUGAUAUCCGCAAGUCCUGCAGAAAAUAUAAGAACGGGAAUGUCUCUUUUCUGCAAGUGGGAAAUAAUCAGUGUAUGGUAAAACCUAAUGAGUAAAGUUCUUUCAAAGUUCUCCUUGGUACCUACCGAUACAGAAAAAGAGAACAGAGAGAAAGAGGGAGGAAAUAAGAAGAAGUCUGUAGACACUGCAGCAAAUAAUAGAUGGCCAACAUAACCAAAUACACAAUAAAAAUAUGAAAGUCUUUGCGGGAUAAGAAAGGAAAAAGAGGGGUAUACACUCCCAUAAUUAUAUGUAAAAUGAAACUCACCUCUAAAAACUCAAAUAAUUCAACAACACCCUCCCUAAAAGAGAUUGCUGAAUCAGCAACAGAUUGCUUUAUCCCAUCAUACGUAACGCCUCCUUCAACCAAAAGAGAAUGAGUUUUUCCCCACCUGCGCCAAUGUAAUCAGUAUCUUUUUCUAUUGGGCAAUAACAAAAUCAGUAGUAUGUGAUUACAUUACAAUAAAAUCACUGCAUGGAAGUUAAGUGACAUAGAAGCAUAGAAGUGACAUAUGUCCGACAAACGAAAAUAGAGGUUGGGACUUGACUUGCCAUUCUUCCAUAAGCAGAGUUUUCUGCUGAAUUGGAAUAGUUGGGGAAAACUCUAACGGAUGAUAGUAUUCGUAUAACUGACGCCUCUUGUUAUCAUAUUCAGGAUUCUCCUGUUGCAAAAGACCAUGACUGCCUAGGCUUGUUAUCAAUCCAUGAACUACAUGGCAAAUUAAACAGAGAAGUGAAGCAAACAAACACAAGACAGAGAAAGCCUACUUUGUCCCCGACAGCCAUUGACCCUGUACUUGGUCAGUGUGGCAUCAAAAUCUGCUAUAACCUGUUGACAAUCACAUACAUACAAUUGUAACAAAAUGCAGAGGCAAUGAGUGAAGUGAAAACAUGGGGGAGGGAAUGAAACCUUAAGUUUGGGGGGACCCGCAUUCCGAAUAGCGGCAACUUUGGCAUCCAACAGGUGAGGGUCGGCCACCACCACCUCAACCUUAUGGGUUUCCAUAUGAAUGGUCCUGCAAACAAAGCAAGGCAUGCAGCUAUGACUAUAAGUAGACAAGGCCUGAGAGGAGAGGAGAGGAGAUACCUGCAAGUGAAGAAGCGGUGUGGGAAGAAGCAGCGAUUAGUGCGAAUGGUGGUGCCAACUACAAGCAAGAGGACUCGGUUAUUCAUUUCCCCUUCCGUCUCUGUUUCGGAUUAUGUCUUAUCUAUCGUGGCUAGUUUGGUUAUUAAAACCAGUUUGGGAUUUUUUAUUUUUAUUUUUUUUAAAGAAGAAAAAGAAAAUUACAAACUGGUGGUUGUCGAUAUUAAUUGUAUAUAUGACUCCGUUCUGAGAGUAAUAGACAAUACACCAACUUUGAUUUUCUGGAUAUAUUCGAUAUUAAUUUUUAAUUGAUAGAUUGAAUUUGAAUAAAUCAGUUAAUCGAUCAUCAAAUUUUAGAAUAUUAAUUAAUGUUUACGUCUUCUCAAUAGAAUAAUCAAACUCAAAUCUAGUUCAUUGUCUUUUUGAUUUGUUGAGUAUCUUAAAAGGAAAAAACCGGUUUCCUCAAACAAGGGCAUAUAGCUAGUAAUUAAUUAUAUGUUUCGUUGGUUAAGGUGCUUAACUGAUAACUUUGAGAUCAUCAGUUCAAAUCUCACGACAUAUGUAGGUGNNNNNNNNNNNNNNNNNNNNNNNNNNNNNNNNNNNNNNNNNNNNNNNNNNNNNNNNNNNNNNNNNNNCUCGUCUUAUUGUAAAUACUCAUCUCUCUCUCUCUCUCUAUCUCUCUCUCGUCCCAACUGGUAUCUCAAGUUCUUUAUCAUCAAGGUCCUCUUCUCCCAGUCUCCCACAUACCCAUAAUAAGUGAUGAAGCUGCAAUUUCAAAUUUUCAGUUCCAAUCGCCCUCACCCAACCCUCUCCUUCUCCAAAUCCCUAACCUCCACUCUCUUCCUCCUCCCUCAAACCCUCCCUUGAACCUUCCCCGGCGGCGUCUCGAAGUGGCAGUGCAAGCAUGCAGGCCAAGAAUGUCAAGCGUCCCUAGCUAAAAGCCGCCGUCGAUGUUGAUAGAAACAGAGAGGACAUGGUAAUGUGGUGCGCGAUGGCGAAAAAGAAGAAAUGGUGGUUUGGAGUUUGAAGGGAGUGAUAGGAGGUAUAAUUCGAGAGAAGGUAGAUAGGGAUUAGGGCAGAAUUUCGCUUCACCCCAACGGUACGACGAGCUGAGGUCGUUGGAAGCAAAAUAAGAAUAGCUAGCUGCGAAUAGAUUAAAAUUUCGAUAACCUGGCCUGGGUGUAUAGAUGAGAAUAGACGUUAAGUAUCGACGACAUUUUCGGACGAGUGAGAUCUAAAAAUGUCAAAAAUAAAAGUAAGAGACAUCUUGAACGGUCAAGAUUGUGUUAUGAGGCAAUAUGCCAAGCAAAGUUGGUCUGAGGUUGAGGUAAUAAGAAUGAACUCCCAGUAUAUGUAAUCUACGAAUUUCGAUUGUACAUAUUUUAUGUUUACAACUGGAUGAACUCAUUGUGGAAUCACCAAUCUGGGAAUCUUCAGCUGACUUGUCUCAUUGAUUACCGAUGCUUUCUACAGUUGAGUUGUCUCAAGUAUCCUUCUUCCUCCAUAUGAUCGAUGAUGUGCUCGAAUUGCUCAUGAACUGGCGUCUCCGGGUUGGGGAUGAUUCAUCACUUCCUAAACAUAAAAAACAGAAAUUAUUCUUUGAAGAACAUGACAAUAUCUCUCACAUUAGAUUAUAAUAUGAUGUUUAACGCUGAUUGAGAGAAUCAUCUAUGCAGUUACUUCAAGUGUACGUAACUAGGGAACUCACUGGCUUUGUGGAAACUGAGCACAUCUGUAUUGAGAAUGCUCCUCCACCCUUUUCGCCAAGUUCUCUCAAUCUGUUAAGCUCAGGUAGCACAACCUUCCCUAGAUCGGGUCUGUCUUUUCUCCCCAUUUGAGCACAUUGUAAUGCUAACUUGGCAAACUUCAACGCUUCCUCGACGGGCCAGUCAGGAACAGCGGGGUCAAGCAUCUCAGCGAAGGUCCCUAUCUCAAUGGCAUGCUCAACAAGAUGAGUCAAACCCAUUGCUUGUUUGGCUGUUAUUAUUUGUAGAAGCAUGACCCCAAGUGAGUAGAUAUCAGAUUUUGUUCCAAGCAAGCCAGUUUGUUGAUACUCUGGGUCGAUAUAACAGAAUGUCCCAGCAGCUGAUGUCAUGUGAUACUGAGUGACUGAGUCAGCUACUGAUGGAGGGACAAGCCUUGACAGACCUACAUCACUAAUCUUGCUGACAAAGUUAUGGUUUAGCAAAAUGUUUCCUGGCUUUAAGUCACGGUGUACCAAGGGUUCUGGCUUGGCUUGGUGAAGGAACAAAAGCCCCGUGGCAAUUUCUGCGGCUAUUCGGAACCUUUGCUGCCAUAACUGGUGUGUUACCUCGUCGAAACAGACGGUCUUCUAAGCUCCCAUUAGCCAUGUACUCAUAGAUCAGACAACCAUACUCUGGGCAGGCUCCGAGCAAGAGAACCAUGUUUGGAUGUCUAAUGCAGCUCAAAACUUCAAUCUGCAUACAAGAACCAUCAGUCAAUAAUUCAUGCUCGUAGCUUUUGACAUUUUCUUCCUUUAAUCUAUUAGUUGCUUUUGUUUAAACACACAUGUUCCCUCUCUUGGUAACAAUGUGCAAGUUCACUCUUAAAUCAAAUCACUCAUGGAUCUAAUUCAAAUACUUCACCUCGGUUAUGUUUCUUUUCUGUCCAAUAUCUGAAAGUGAAAAAGUUUUAGAGAUAGUAGUUAGAGUUUUGUUCAUGUGAAAAUUGACUAACCUCUUGUUGGAACUGUGACCGUCCUUGAGCUGCAUCAGGACGUAGAGCUUUUAUUGCCACUUGUGUGUGAUCCAGCUCACCUACAUACACAGGCCCAUAUCCACCUUCUCCAAUCUUGAGAGCUUUUGAAAAAUUGUCUGUUGNNNNNNNNNNNNNNNNNNNNCUCUUUUCAGCUUCUUUGAGACCCUUUAUUUCUGCAUUCCUCCUUUGCUCUGCUCUGCUUCCAGUUCAGCAAUCCUUUUAGCUGCUCUUUCUGCCUCCAUGGCUGCUCUACAUUUUGCUUCCUCCUUCUGUACAAAUUCCAAUGCAGUCUCCUGACCUAGGCGUGCACUUUCCAGUUUGUUCUUCUUCCCAUUUCCAUCGGUCAAGUUGCUUUAGGUAUAUACAAAUUAAAAAUCCAUUAUAAUUUACACUGAAUAUCGGAAACAUAUUUUUUUGUUUUUUUACUGCAUGAGUAAAAUAAAAUAAGAAAACCAAAAAUAUAUAAAAUAAAAAUAUGUCAUAACAACAUGCAUGAUGGUAGAAUUACAAAGGUGAUAUAACCUCUAGAUUGCUGGUUACGCAUGGACUGAGAAACAUUUGAGUCUGAAACGUUGCCGACUUGGUUAUGUAUUUGCUUAUUACGAGCUUCUGGGGGUAAUUUAGAGGUUGCUGUUUACACAUGACUAACAUUUCCCUUGCCAAUGACAUACACAGUGCAGAAAUCCAGUGCCCCUUUCGAUAUGCUGCUUGGAAUGUCUGUAGUUUUGUUAAAUUUCGAGAAAGGAGAAAUGUAAUUAGUAGCCAUGCAUUGUAAUUGAGUUUUGUCCAACUUCUAGAAGUAUAAGUCCAAUUAAAAGUCAAAUUCAUGAUAAUAAUGCUUUAUCUAGUUGCAAUUAACCAAAUAGAGUAAUUCUAAUUAACAGAAAGGCCAAAUGACAUAAAGAUGAGAAAGUUUCAGCAAAUUUAUAUAAUCCACCUGAAAAAGUCACUUUUUGAAGGUGCCGCAAGUACCAAAACCUCAAUUAAAUGUGUCGAAAUAAAAUUGAUGAAUGUUUUUGCUACAUUAGUACCUUCAACUAUUAUUUCAUUGUAUCUUACGUGUUGUAAGUUUAAACUUAGUUAGAAAAGAGAGUUUGCUGUUUGACAAAAAGUACAUACAAUUUAAUCAUAUUAGUUACCCACACUUUUUUCUUACAGAAAGUACGAAGUGGAAGAAACAACUCCCUAUAUUCAGCGUCAAAUAGGCUUUUGCACAAUUUUAAACCUUACUCAUUUACUUCAGAGCUAGAAACUAAUUUCACCGCUGCACCAAAAAGUGAAAAACAUGGGGAAAUUGAGGAUUUGGAAAACUAGACAAAUAUUAACAUUCUAGAGCAAGCAGACAACAUUGAUAUUAACAUUCCAGAGCAAACAGGCAACAUUGAUAGGCACAUUCACCGACUAGGUGCAUAUUUCCAGCAUCCCCUUAGGGCGGGCGGCAAGUUCCGGAAGACACCCUUUCGGAGAAAAACCCAUACGACGCCGUACGAUCGGCCAACGUCCACCACUGCCAACGGCGGCUGGAUCUCCAAGCUCGUCGAUCCCGCUCAGAAGCUUCUCACCUACAGCGCCCACCGCCUCUUCUCCACCGUCUUCCACAAACGCCUCCCUCCGCCUUCCUCAGGUUCGUCUCUCUUUCUCUCUCUCUCUCUCGUGUGCGUUUCAAUUUAGCCAAUGUUGCUUGAAAUUCUUUAUAUGAAUUUGAAAUUCGAAUCAAGACUUGGGAUUCUGGAAUUCUUAAUUGAAAUGCCUGAUAAUUAAUUGCAUUUAAUGAUGAAGCAAGGAUUUUUCGUUUAAUUUAGUCUCCUGUUUCUUUACCAGAGGCGAAUCAUGAAGCAAGGGUUAUGGACAAGGGAGAAGUUGACAUUGUAAGUAUGAAUGUAUUUAUUAUUUAUUUCUAUUGCUUCAUGUNNNNNNNNNNNNNNNNNNNNCUACAUCACUAAUCUUGCUGACAAAGUUAUGGUUUAGCAAAAUGUUUCCUGGCUUUAAGUCACGGUGUACCAAGGGUUCUGGCUUGGCUUGGUGAAGGAACAAAAGCCCCGUGGCAAUUUCUGCGGCUAUUUGGAACCUUUGCUGCCAAGGAAUAACUGGUGUGGUACCUCGUCGAAACAGACGGUCUUCUAAGCUCCCAUUAGCCAUGUACUCAUAGAUCAGACAACCAUACUCUGGGCAGGCUCCAAGCAAGAGAACCAUGUUUGGAUGUCUAAUGCAGCUCAAAACUUCAAUCUGCAUACAAGAACCAUCAGUCAAUAAUUCAUGCUCGUAGCUUUUGACAUUUUCUUCCUUUAAUCUAUUAGUUGCUUUUGUUUAAACACACAUGUUCCCUCUCUUGGUAACAAUGUGCAAGUUCACUCUUAAAUCAAAUCACUCAUGGAUCUAAUUCAAAUACUUCACCUCGGUUAUGUUUCUUUUCUGUCCAAUAUCUGAAAGUGAAAAAGUUUUUAGAGAUAGUAGUUAGAGUUUUGUUCAUGUGAAAAUUGACUAACCUCUUGUUUGGAACUGUGACCGUCCUUUGAGCUGCAUCAGGACGUAGAGCUUUUAUUGCCACUUGUGUGUGAUCCAGCUCACCUACAUACACAGGCCCAUAUCCACCUUCUCCAAUCUUGAGAGCUUUUGAAAAAUUGUCUGUUGCUGCCUCAAUCUCUUGAAUCGAGUAUUUCCUGUACCGUGGAUCAUAACUCCUUCCUCCUAGUGAGUUCGUCCUCUUUUCAGCUUCUUUGAGACCCUUUAUUUCUGCAUUCCUCCUUUGCUCUGCUUCCAGUUCAGCAAUCCUUUUAGCUGCUCUUUCUGCCUCCAUGGCUGCUCUACAUUUUGCUUCCUCCUUCUGUACAAAUUCCAAUGCAGUCUCCUGACCUAGGCGUGCACUUUCCAGUCUUUGUUCUUCUUCCCAUUUCCAUCGGUCAAGUUGCUUUAGGUAUAUACAAAUUAAAAAUCCAUUAUAAUUUACACUGAAUAUCGGAAACAUAUUUUUUUGUUUUUAUUUUUUAUUUUUACUCAUGAACUUACAAGUGCGCAAUCAAUGCCUUCUGGUUGUGUGUGUGUGUUUGUGUGUCUGCAAGGAGAAGAGGCUGGUUCACAUUACCUGCUGUUUUGAUGUUAGGGUGUCCUUACUGGCCGUAUUGUACAUUUCCAUUGUUUGCUUGAGCUCUAGUAUGAUUCUCAUCAUCUCAUCUUCUACUUCUUCCUAUAGUAAUUGGCAAUAAAAAUUAAAUUAGGAUUCUGAAAUAUUUCUACAUUCAUGCAUCCAAUUGAUUGAUUGCAGUGAUUGCAGUGCACUACUAGUGCAGUAAUCACUCAAAAGUCAAACAAAAACAUUUUUCCACUUUUUAAAUUGGCUUUUGACUCAACUAGAGUUUAUGCUCAUUAAUAUUUGUCUUACCAUAUUCCGGGAUGACCAUGAUUUUCCACUCUGAGUUGAUGAUAAUGAGUUAAUAUCAAUGAACUGGGUUCUUGAGUAGGACUGUGUAGAGGUAUAGCUUCCUCCGCUACUCGUGAAUGAUACAUUGCUGCCUGGUGUCACUUCAUAUAAUUCGUUUGUUGAAGCUUGUCCUCUGGUGAAUGGUGACCUAGAAGAAAAUAUUUACAUUUCUGUGCGGUCAGUCCUUCUGAUUAAUUGUUUUACAAUUGCCAUAACUUUAUAUAUAUUUCAAAUAAUCAGAGCUCACUUGAUUCCAGUGUCAUCAUCUAUCCGAGAAUUAUGGUGUCGGUACUGUGUUCUUGUCCUCUCUGAUGCUGUAUCAAUCAAAAGAACAUGAAAUAGUGAGAAAGUAAAAGUAAAAUAAGAAAACCAAAAAUAUAUAAAAUAAAAAUACGUCAUAACAACAUGCAUGAUGGUAGAAUUACAAAGGUGAUAUAACCUCUGGAUUGCUGGUUACGCAUGGACUGAGAAACAUUUGAGUCUGAAACGUUGCUGACUUGGUUAUGUAUUUGCUUAUUACGAGCUUCUGGGGGUAAUUUAGAGGUUGCUGUUUGCACAUGACUGACCUUUCCCUUGCCAAUGACAUACACAGUGCAGAAAUCCGGUGCCCCUUUCGAUACGCUGCUUGGAAUGUCUGUAGUUUUGUUAAAUGCUCUUUUGCAUUCGAGAAAGGAGAAAUGUAAUCAGUGCAUGCAUUGUAAUUGAGUUUUGUCCAAGUUCUACAAGUAUAAGUCCAAUUAAAAGUCAAAUUCAUGAUAAUCAUGCUUUAUCUAGUUGCAAUUAACCAAAUGGAGUAAUUCUAAUUAACAGAAAGGGCCAAAUGACAUAAAGAUGAGAAAGUUUCAGCAAAUUUAUAUAAUCCACCUGAAAAAGCCACUUUUUGAAGGUGCCGCAAGUACCAAAACCUCAAUUAAAUGUGUCGAAAUAAAAUUGAUGAGUGCUUUUGCUACAUCAAUACCUUCAACUAUUACUUCGUUGUAUCUUACCUGUUGUGAGUUUAAACUUGGUUAGGGAAGAGAGUUUGCUGUUUGACAAAAAGUACAUACAAUUUAAUCAUAUUAGUUACGCACACUCACAAGUUUUUUCUUACAGAAAGUACGAAGUGGAAGAAACAACUCCCUAUAUUCAGCGUCAAAUUGGCUUUUGCACAAUUUUAAACCUUCCUCAUUUACUUCAGAGCUAGAAACUAAUUUCACCGCUGCACCAAAAAGUGAAAAGCAGGGGAAAAUUGAGGAUUUGGAAUACUAGACAAAUAUUAACAUUCUAGAGCAAGCAGACAACAUUGAUAUUAACAUUCUAGAGCAAACAGGCAACAUUGAUAGGCACAUUCACCGACUAGGUGCAUAUUUCCAGCAUAGGAAUAUGCAAUUGUGAGGUCUACACCAUUGAUCGAAUAUGCCUAUAUGCAAAUACAUGGACUGUUAGGAAUACUUAUUACAACGUUAAGCUAUUUGUACUUUGGUGAUUGACUCUCAUCUUGCUACCAGAAAUGGUGGACAACUAUCAUUCUAUCAACAUAUGCCUUCAUACACAGGAUAGAACUGCAUGUUGAAUAUUAAUAACAUCAUCAACUUGCAUGAGAGAGAGAGAGAGAGACGAGAUAUUUACGUACUUUGAAUAGGAAGGCCUGGUGUUGAUUGUUUAACAUGCACAAGGGUGAGACUUUGGCCCUUGGCGAGAAAAUGCUCAACAGUCCAUUUGAGAGCAUAUUGACUUCCCUUGUCCUUGUCUAUUGCCACCGCCACCGCCUCUUCUCUCUUCUCAUCACCUGCGGCCCAUGAUCUUGCCAUCUCUCUCUCUCUCUCUGAACAGUGACUGAAUUGAGAAACUCUCAGAACCAAAAAAAAAANNNNNNNNNNNNNNNNNNNNCAAACCAAAAAUAAAAAUAAAAAAAAAGUACCUCCUCUUCAACAGUUGGACAUAAUAUCUUCCUCACACUAACGUCUCCACAUUCAACAACUCAUUGACUUCCACACCCAUCACAUGUAAACCAAUUUACAUUGUUAUGCAUAUUUCUGUAACAGCAACUGGGAUCAGUUAUGUUUUAAAUCUAUUUUUGUUAGGAUUGUGGAUCUCUAGUAGGUUAUGUCAGCCAACAAUCCAACCAAUAAAACACCAAGCCGAGUUUUCAAGACACUUUCUCCCUCCUCGGGUUUAAGAUCAGCUAGUGAAUAACUAAAUUUAGGAGUGGGAUACAGAUCAUUAUUUUGUAACUUUCGCCUAACUUUAAGAUUCAGAGUUCAUAUUUGAUGGAACUAUUGGAGAUGCUUUUACUAUAUAUGAGCAAUCUCCACAUUCCCUACAACAUAUUCUGUUAUUUCAUAUUUCAUUUGCUGAAACAGAAAGAAUGAUCAAUUUAUUUAUUUCAAAUUUUACAUAGCGAAUCUGGGACGAGCCCAAGAACUUCGUAAAAAUAAUUGAAAGAAUAUAUAGUAUAUUAACAUACAAAUAUAACCAAAAACUUGUAAUCAAAAGAAUCAAAUGGUGAAGAUACACAGAGAAGGAACUGAUACAACAACAAUUACAGUAAGAACCUGGUUUCAAGUUCAGCAACAAUAGGGGCAUAUAAUCAACCCAUUUUCAUUGCACUGCGGGCACACAUUAGACUCUCCCUUGUCGGCAAUGAGCUUGUGACUUCCAUUGCACUUGAAACAAACCACAAACCGAACUCCAGCGCAACCUUGACAUGAUCCUUGUGAUAGAUCCAACGGCACUCCAGCAAGGAGCGGCCGCAGCUUUCCUUGCUCAUGAAGCGCCAGAACCUCCUCUGCUCCCCCAAUGUAUCUCCCCUUUAUGAAAAGCUUAGGAGGAACCGAGUUGCAACCCAAAAUGCUGCAAAGCUCUUGUCUGAACUCCAUGUGCAUUGACACAUCACGCUCGAAAUACACAACCCGAAAGCUCUCUAACAGAAAGCGGAUGCUGUUGCAAUCGUCGAACGUCUUGCGUAUCCCUCGAAGGCUUGUGGUGUAGAGAAUUACUUAGUCGAAGCUCCCAGGUGGACGUUUCUCUUGGAAGCCCAAGAGAGGGUCUUCACUCAAUCUCAUAUACUCAAUCACCGCUUGCCGAAAGGCGGCCAGUAGGCCCGGGUCGAAGAGGGUACCGGAAUCUAAGUCGGGUCGCCGGAAAGACGAGAUGUCAAUCUCCGAUAAAGGUAACACUAAUGCUUCUGAUUCUGAAUCUGGGGAAGUAGCUUUACUCUGUUUCAAAGUAGACUCCACNNNNNNNNNNNNNNNNNNNNAGGGUUCAACCAAAUGUUUGAGAUUUCAGACUGUAUCAACUCAUAAUGGCUUCUUUGUAACUUUUCUGUUAAGGAUCCUCCUGGAGUGCAAAAAUGGUGCCAUUGAGCAAAGUACUGGUCCCAGAGCUACUUCUGCUGGAGACGGGGGGUUUACCUUACUUGAGCAAAUUUUGGAGCAGAAAACCUUUACCAGGCAAGUCGUAUAUAUUAAUCACAAUGUUUUUUCUUCUCUUCUGGGACUUUGAAAUUGCUUAGAUAUUCUAAUUGCAGCCUUCCAUGACAACAUUGUGUUUCUUAUGCUAUCCUCUCUGUGCUUAUUAAGCUGUACGUGUUUUUUCAUUGAAAACAACAAGAGGAUUACUAGAUUGCUUGAUGGUCUCUGACCCUUUUUAGGUGAAAGAGUAAGGACCUCCUUGAUGAAUACCAGUGGAAGACCACUAUGGUUUGUCCAAGGCUGAGUGAAGCUAGUAGGUUUUAUUGCUUUAAUAGCUUGAUUAUUUUUCGUAAAUCCUUGAUAUUUUAUAUAUUUUAAAUGACCUAAAUGGAAUGGGUUGAAACCCUUGGGGAAAUCUUAUUAUGCAGGUUUAGCCCUAUCUGUCACACAUCAUUCCUUGUUUAUUUGUAGUUUGUGGAAGCAUAGUGAUGUCUUUGCUUGUUGUUUUACUUUCGAUAUGACUGUUUCCUCCAAAUAUAUUUUCAUUCCCUGCAAUGCUUUAAUUACACGCAUAGUUUGGAAUUUGAACUUCUUGGGAUUGGUUAUUAUUAGAGCUUAACCUGCUUGAGGUAUCCAAUAAAAGGAACAAAUAGAAGAUUCUGCUGUAAUCGCAUCUGUGCCACUUCUGCUUUUCAUAACUUGCCUUUUUUAUUGUACAUGUUUGUCAUGGUGUUGAGUUUCAUGUAUGUUAAUUCCCUGCAGAUCUGAAAUUGAUCGAUUGAAAGAGCUCUUGCAUUCAAGGACUGAUGAUGUACCUACUGAGAAUCUAGAGAAAAGAUCUGAAGUAAUACCUUCAAUGGAAAUGGUAUCUCAUGACAGGAAGGAGGAAUACGCUAAAACCCCAUUGCAAGAUAAAAGUGCCAAUAGCCGCCUCGUUUCAACCCCUGUUGUCAGUACAACUGUAUGAUACCCUUUUCUGAGUUGACUAUAAUUAUGGCUUAUUUAUUUUCACAGCUGUGGUGUUUACACUUGGUACUCUUUAAACCAAAUAAAAACUGUUAUAAUUCUUUAUUACAGUUGCACUUGGCUCUUUUUUUUUUUUAACAUUGUUGUAAAUAAUGUCUUCAGGUCCCUGAUGAUGAUGCAGCUUCACCUGUUGAGCUGGCAAAAGCUUACAUGGACAAUAGGUCUUCAAAAGUAUCCCCAUCAUUGCUGGGUCUACGUAGUCGAGCUGUCUAUGAAGAUUCACAUAACAGUGUGGCAUUUCCUUCCAAAUUAUCACUAAUGUCAGUCGUUCCUCGAUUUUCUAGCACUGGGGCGGCACCAGAGAAUGGUUUUGCAACCCCUAGAUCUCAAGGCAGAUCUGCAAUACACAGUAUGGCUCGUACGCCAUACUCUCGAGUUCAAACCCAUAAUACAUUUAGGGUUAGUUUUAUAAAGAAUUUUGUUAGCUUUGGUGUCAAUGUUAUCUGGGAUUCAGGCUCUUAUAGUUGUCCCUUGUAUUUCAGGGUGUCGGGUCUACAGUUGAUACUUACGGUGCACCAUCCUCAUCAACUCGGUCUAAAUGGGAGCAAAGCCAACCCUCUGGAUCCAAACAAGGGGUAUAACACAGUUUUUGAAAUGAAUCUACAUCUCACUAGAUAUUUUUUUGCUAUAUGUAUAGCCCUUAGGGUUGAAACCAGCUUUGAAGGUUGGUACUCUCUCUUUCUUAGGGGUUGAAGAACCAGUUAUGUGUUGCCUUGUCUCGAAAAAAAAUAAUAAAUGGUGCUCCCUCUUUUCUUGGGGUUGAAGCACCAGCUUAGAAAAUUGGUGCUCCCUCUCUCUUAGGGGUUGAAGAACCAGUUAUAUGUUGCCUUGUCUCGAAAAUUAUAUAAAAAAAUGGUGCUCCCUCUUUUCCUGGGGUUCAAGUACCAGCUUUGAAGAUUGGUGCUCCCUCUUUUUUUGGGUUGAAGAACCAGUUAUAUGUUGCCUUGUCUCGAAAAAAAACAAAAAUAGUGCUCCCUCUUUUCCUAGGGUUGAAGUACCAAUUUUGAAGAUUGGUGCUCCCUCUUUUUUAUGGGUUGAAGUACCAGUUUUGAAGGUCUUCAUUGAAGAUCAGUGCUUCCUCAGCUAGACAUCGUUGAAGUGUUGUGUUUUUGGCUCGUUGAUAAGUUAGGAUUUAGUAGUCAAAUCCAAGUCUAGAACAGAAAGAGGACAGUGCUGUAGCUUUUCUAUAAGUUCUAGGAAAGUUAGUCUUUCAAGGUUCUAUUAGGAUUUGUAAUAGACUUAUGUCUAUUAGGUUUAGGAGUGUUAAACCGUGUUGUAUCUGCAGCCCCUAUUUUCUAUAAAAUAGGAGCUGCAGGGGGGUUUCUAAGGGUAAGACACCGUAGAAAACCGAGGGCUCUAAGGGUGAUAGAGAGAUCUAGCAAGGGAGUUGGGGAUUAGCAUAAGGAUUUCAAUAAGUACUUGUAAUCAGGAUGUCAUUCUCCAUAGUGCUAGUGAAUCUCUCAAGAGAGAUCACAAAGUGGACGUAGGCCAGGGUUUUGUCUGAACCACUAUAAAGUUGCUGUGUGCUGUGUUUCUGUCUUCAAGUUCAUCUUUUUAGCUUUAGCUUUGCUUAAGUCGUAAAGUACCAGUAAAGAUCCUAAGGGGGGUUUCUAAGGGUAAGACACCGUAGAAAACCGAGGGCUCUAAGGGUGAUAGAGAGAUCUAGCAAGGGAGUUGGGGAUUAGCAUAAGGAUUUCAAUAAGUACUUGUAAUCAGGAUGUCAUUCUCCAUAGUGCUAGUGAAUCUCUCAAGAGAGAUCACAAAGUGGACGUAGGCUAGGGUUUUGUCUGAACCACUAUAAAGUUGCUGUGUGCUGUGUUUCUGUCUUCAAGUUCAUCUUUUUAGCUUUAGUUUUGCUGAAGUCGUAAAGUACUAGUAAAGAUCCUAGGGCGCUGACCACUAUAUGAAGGCCUUCAUUAUGGACAUACAAUUGAAGGGUAUAAUGUAGAGGUAAAGAAAAAUCAGCUUCUGAGCUCAAGAUGUUUGUUGAUAUAGUGUCUUCUUAAUACAACAAAGAGAAUGCCACUCUUUGUUGUACUUUAUACCAGAAAAGAUGGUCUGUUAAGCUCUAGAAUUGGAAUUUUGUUGUGAGUUUUACAUUUAGAAGAAAAUUACUGGUUUAUUGCUUGCUUGAUAGCAGAAAAGAUGGCGACGCCUCUCUUCUCUGUUAAGAUUUAGAAUUGGGUUUCUGUGGUUUUAAGAUAAGGUUCUGGUUUUUCCUUUGCAUAAAUAACAAACCUUGUAUUUCUAGUUUGGAUAAAUCUCUAAGAUAGAUAUGGCUGCCUCGUUUUCGUCUUAAUUCUUUUCUUGUUUAUGACUCAUUGCUUAUUGAGCUGGGGUGCUCAUCUUAUAUCAUUUUCUUAUUUUUUUGUGUUACCUUAAUAUUAUCCUGCAUUAUAUUCUGUUGUUUUAGUACAUGCUUGCUAGAUUAGUGUGAUUUCUCUUCUCUCAAAUCAUCAAUGGAUAUAUUUGGUGUUUAUGUUCACCCUACACUUUCUGUAGGUGUAUUGAAAUGUGAUGAAUGUUUGGUUCAUGGAAGGAACUGGGCAUUGACGUAACCUUUUGAGCUGUUACUGUAUAAAGUAUAAAUAAUUUAGCUAGUCUGUCUAUGAUAUGUUACCCAGCAAGUUCAUUAAGGAAUUUGCUGCGUAUUGUGUUAAUUUCCUGAACACUAAUAAAGCUUCCUCUACAUCUGAGAUUAUAGGAUACAUCCUUUGACCAUACGGUCUUGUGUCAAAUGACUGUUAUCUGGACCUUUGAUUGUAUGGAAGGGUAUCAGUUGUCCCAACUUAGUCGUGUAGCAGUAAGACUGAAUCAAAAUGCUAGAAUUGCAUUUCCUUUUAGGUUUCGAAACUCAAAGGUUUAUGAAUCAGUGUCUUCUUAGAUUGUUUUGGGCAAUAUCAGGUUUACAAGGAUAUGCCAUGUUAUGAUGGCUGUGUUGUGGCUAAAGAUAAAUAUAUAUAGGUACAUACAUAACUCGGUAUCAAAUUUAAUUGUUGUUAAGUAGUUGCUGCCGGUACUUUAGCUACUGUAAAAUCUGUUAGUGUGUGUCUGUUGACCUGACAUUGGGAUUUUCCGACUCAAUUUGGACAAUGUGUCUAGUCUCUUUGUUUAUAUUUAUCUGGUCAUGCACUACAUCUACAUUUAUGUAUCCUACAGUUGUGAAAUUUUAUGUUAGUUAGGACUAGUAUGAAUCAAUGAGUCAUAAUGUUGUAACUCUAGAAGCUUCCUUUUGCUUUGAUUUCCUUCCUUUCUUUGUUGUUUGUUUGGUUGCUUUGGUCUCGGGCAAGUUGCACAUGUCAAAUGACUUUACAACCGCUUGUGUUUAUGGUUUUUCUGUUGUAUAGCUGGACCUUAUACGUGGUUGUUGUGAAUCUAUUAUUGGCCGUGCUUGAUUAAUAUAUAGUCGGAUCAAGAUACCUGUUUUGGCUAGAGUGCUAUGUGAUGGCACUGAGGUCAGUUUCCGCUUCAAUUUAUGUAAUCUGUUGGUUUCGCAUUCGGGAAAGUUUCGAGUUGAUUUUAGUAAUUUACAGCUUUAGUUUUAAGCUUAGGCAGAUUUUAUGGCUUUAUGAAUGCACUUGUGAUCAAUCUUUCAUAAAUCAUAAUGAAGUUCAUGAUUUCAUGUGUUAUUGUAGGACUUUUGAAAGUGUUAGGCUUAGAUGAAAGGUUUAUAUAGGGGUUUCAUGGUGGUGGCCAAUACACAGGCAAGUGAAAGUGGUGGUGUUAUCAUCUAUCACAGCCUUUGUAAUCUAUCACACCCAACCACUACUAGGAAUCUAAACUAAUUAUAAGAAUAAAGUCUCAACUAAUUCUGAUAUUAGUUUUAUUGGGAAGGGUUAAUUGUACAGGUAUUUGUCAGGAGAAUAUUGUGUAAAGUCUGUGUGUGCUUGCAGUGCAAGCCAUUGUCCUUUUGAAGGGAAAGUUGUGUGGGGAGAGUUUAAUAUGGAGGAUACUAUUUCUAAUGCGGCUUGAAAUUGUAUUGAUAUGAUCUUCGGCUGAAAACAGUUUUUUGCUACAAGUCAAAAAGGUGCCUUCCCAUGUUGUGGAAGGUAUGAUUUCUGAAAAUAAAUGGGAUCAGUCCCUACCUAUUCUACAACUUCAAAUGUUUAGUGUUAUGUUGGAAUGUGCGUGGUUCUGGGGGAAAUUUUGUUCCUCUAUAUGAGUUUGAUGUUUUAAUUGUAUCUGAACCUAGAGUUCCUUUCUCUAGAGCAAAAAAUUUUCGUCAAAAACAUGGCUUCUCUGAUGCUGCAAGUGUCUGAUGUUAGAGGUUUGCUAAUAGGAUCAGAAUCAUAGAAUGGUAGUAUGUUUGCUAAUAGGAUUGCUAAUAGGAUCAGAAUCAUCAGACACUAGAAACUCUCAUUUUAAUGGUAGUAUGUUUCAUCUUCUUCAUCAUCAGAUAUCUCAACCUCUGAAGAUACCUUGAGCAAUUCAGUUAAAUAACAUAAUUUCAAAAAUUGGUUUGGAGUAGUGAAAAUGGCAGCAAGAAUUUCCAAAUUUCUUCGACAAUUUAGGUUGGUGUAGUAUGUUGGAGUUACUGCCUCUCCAUGUUGAGAUUGAUUGAUGCAUGUUUUGGGGACACUGUUGAGAUUGUUGCAUUGUAAUCCUACUUACUGAAAUAAGGGAGUUCAAAGUUGUUGACACUAAUUUGAUUGGUACCUACUGAGCUACUGUGCUGGUUUUGGUUGGGGAUAUUCUGUUGCAUUAAUAGUUGUAAGACUAGCGGCCUUACUUUAUUGUUUAGUAACACCCAAGCUAGAAGAAUCAUAUGUGAAAGACAUUAUUUGUUUGGUCUCCUGGAGUCUGCCAAUUGAGUACUGAGUGGAUAACGAUCUACUCUCACAUGUCAUAAGCAUAACCCCGGAAAGGUCAGUUCUAUCUUCGUAUGAUGCCAACUAUCUACUUAUCUGGCUUUUGUCUUCUGAAAUUUCAGGAGGUUGCUACUAUCACUAUGGCUUAAAACUAAAUAAUACGCAUGUUAAACCCUCCUCCUUGAAACAUUGUAUGUGUUCGUAGGCACAUGUUGAUUGGAUGGUAGUAUGUUCUUGAAGAACUAUCUUGAACUCAAGAAAUAUGUUACUUGCAGAAUGGUCAAAAUUUUAAUUGCUCGUCCUUUGUCUACCCUUAUAACUGGCAUCAUAAAUUUCCCCUUGUCUUACUUAUUUGGCUAUAAUAAGUAUCUGCUGAGGUAAUCAGAACAUGAUUUUAUGAUCGACGGGAUUUUGCAUAGCUAAUAUUGCAAGAUUCUUAUCAUCACCUCAGUUCUGUUAUUUUGUAUACUGCAUCCUAUGCCAGGUCCAUGAAAGCUUUCAAACAUGUUUGGAAAGUCAUUUUGCGUCUUCUCAUCCUAAUGCUCUUCUCAUCUAAUUUGGUGUGUUCGGAAAGUUCAUUGUGUAGAUACUGUUACUAUUGUCGUUGUCUUUAAGUAAAUGCUUCACAUAUUGAAUGCUCCAUGAAGCAUUUUGUUCUCAGGCACAAUGCUGAUAGGAUUCUAGUAUCUUCAUGACGUUGAAGAACAAACUUCAAAUAAGAAAAUGUCAACUUUAUUUUUAAGGGAUCAAUUGCUUUUUUGGUCCCUCAAAAGGAAAGUGAACUACUCUCUUGGUGGAUCAAUUCUCUUUCUGUUUCGUAGCUGAAACCCUUCUCGGAUUCUUCAUUCUGUUUCGUAGCUUCCACGAAUCCCUAUACUUUUUUAGUUUUUUCUUUUUGCUGAUCUAUCUCCACAUGCCACUGUGCAUACAGCUAACUAUCAUACCAGUUUCCGGGCUUCAACUUCAUCUCUUACAGGACAUAAAUGACCAUUUUGGUAGUUUCAAUAGCAUUUAGCAGCACGAAAAGCACUUUUCUAUCUUCAAAUAAAUUACUUCCUGCUGUUUAUUGGUAGGACGAUAAACAGGACUUCGAACUUCUGAUAGCAGCGAUAUAUCUGCAUUUCCAGAAUGACCGAUUUCCAGCUCUAAUAAAAGGUCAUAGGAAAAAAAACGUUGUGUUUUUAUUUUUGUUUGCAGUGCAAAUCCUUUGGCUUGGUCCCAAAUGCCAGCUCUUUAUUAGAGGAGAAGAUUGAAAAAAAAAAAAGAGAAAAGAAAGAAAGGGGAAUGUCUUAAAAGUUUUUCUUCAUAUGCGUUGAGCUCUUCUUGCUCUGAAUACGAGUAAUAACAACCUCUAAGCUUUCUCCCCGCUCCUUGUGUGACGUUCAAACGUGGUACGGAUAUACAUGCAAAGGUCAAGGCAGCAAAACUCUACAUGUGAAAAUUAGCUACAGUAUUGCAAAGCAUCAAAAGUUCAAAAUUAGCUACAUGUUAAAAGGGAUAGUUCCGAAUUGGAUUGCACUAUUUUCCUGAUACACCAACCAGCUCAGACGAUAAUGAUUGAUUGCGCUUAAACGAUUACCAAAUAAUUCAAAAACCAAAUUUGACUGACCGAAACUCCAAAGCAGAGCUUACAACAUUAAGAGAUAAGUGGGUAAAAUUAAUAAAUGAAUGAAUUCAAUCAUAACUAAAUUGAUUGUAACCCUUUGUUCCUUCCCUCUCGCUUUCUCUUUAGCUUGUGAGGGUUAGAGUUUCCAUUGUAUCGAUCCCUUCCAAUCAAAGGUGAGUUGGGUGUGUAGUCUGCGUCGCAGGGUUCCAAACCCUUUCAAAAAGAUUAAAUAAACUGAUAGCAUAUUUUAAAAGUCACCAAAACCUUACUAUGAAAGAAGUAGAGACUUGCCUUGUAUUAGGUGUAGCUCGAGGCAAUCAAUCAUCACCGGGACAUAGUUCGGAAACAAGCUUUACUACUCCCCACAUGGGUGCAUCAUUCUGCAGAAAUCCAUGAAUUAAGUUAAAAAAGAGUACAGUAUCAUCACGAACAUAUAAGCAAGAAAUCAUGUCAACUUCACCACAUUUGACGAAUCUUUCAAUGGAAUGAAGCAAAAUUCCCAGCUUAUGGCACCAAAAACAUAUGCAACCUUUUCCUCUUUUUGGGACCUCCAUACACCCACAACAUUGAUCUUUCAACUUUUUUUGAGAAAAUUUGACGUGUUAUUUUGGUAUUUUCGCACGAUCUUACGAGAUUGCGAACGAACAUAUCAACGUUCUCGGAAUCUGCCGAAACCAAAUUCUUGGCUCUUUUUGGGACCUCCAUACACCCACAACAUUGAUCUUUCAACUUGUUCGCAAUCUCGUAAAUUUAGAAAACAAAAGAAAACAAAAGAAACGAGUUAUUCUUUUGGAUUAAAUUUAGUUUACCCUAUUGAGGUUUGGGGUUAACAUCAUUUCAGUAUCUAUACUCUCAAUUUUGAAAAUUUACCACUUAAAGUUUUCAAUUUUCAUAAAUCAUGCCCAAUUGCUAAAAUUCCGUCUAAUUUGAACGUUAAUUUUGACUUUAUAACUCAUUUUAAGGGCUAAAAUAGUCAUAUAACAUCAUUUAAUGUCUAAAAUUGCACGAAAUUUUAGCAAUUGGGUUUGAUUUAUGAAAAUUAGAAACUUUAGGAGGUAAAUUUUAUAAAAUUAAAAGUAUGUUAAAAUGAUGUUAACACCAAACCCCAUGGAGAUAAACUGAAAUUAAUCAUAUUCUUUUAGUGUAGCCCUUAAUGAUAAAGAUUCAGUAUACAAAAACAUCUACGAGGUCAUCCAUUUUUACUAUGAUUCUCAAUUAAAAAAUCAAGAAAUUCGUCUGAAUGGUAUACGAAUUUUUGUUCCUUAUAAACUUUUGUAUAUCAAGUUUUAAAAAUAUCAAAUUGGUAUCUCAUGUUUCUAUCUGGAUCUUAGAUUGGUAUAUAUAGCUACUAAGAUGACUAAUUUACCAAAAAAAAAGAUGACCAAAUAUUAAGAUGAGUAAUUUACUCACAAAUUUAUAAAAGCCAACCCAAGUCAUCACAUUCCAAAACCUCUUCAAAUAUUUCUGGAAUAUGAAAACAAAUAUAAAAAAAACUAAGAAAAAAAGAGAACUUAAGGGUAAAUUGGUCAUCUUAAUGAGUAUAUAUACAAAUCUUAGGUCUAGAUGGAAACAUGAGAUAUCAUUAUGUAUUUUCAAAACUUGAUAUACCAAAGUUUAUAAAGAGCAAAAGUUUGUAUAUCAUUCAGACGAAUUUCUCUAAAAAAAUUAGUUAAAAAGUUUAAAUAUAAAAUAAAAAAAUAAAAAUACAACACCUUCACAAAAGGCUAAUACAAAAUUAUCAUGAUACUAGGUUCCUAACAUCGGGGUUGAACCAUAACCCCAUUAAUAUUUCAUAGAAACCCAACAACAUUCCAGUUAGAGUGGAAAGUCCAGUUGGUACAAGCUUACAAUCAAUCAAACCAACCGCAGAGCUCUAAUAGUUUAUUUUGCAGUUAAAACCCACAACCUGUAAGCCUUGCAGCACUGUAUAUGAUUUGGGUUUAGCCUUCAUGUAUCUAAAUUUCUCUGGAAAAUAAUUAGCUCGACACUUCCUACAAAUUAUGCCAUUGCAGCAUAUUUCCAAAACGAAAAAAAAUGGCAUAAGAUUUUACUAUUUUGUUGAAAAUAAGAGACAAACUACAGAACAAACAGGCAUUACAAUCAGUGGCAAUCGAAAGUAACCCAAUGAAAGUAAUGAAAAGUUGAAAACCAAAGUAAACCCAGAUAAAAGAAAGAGAGGAUGAAGAGAAUAUAUGUACCCAAAUCGGACUCGAGCGGUUGACGGUGGCUGCGGCUGGAAGUGGAGAUCGGGCAGCCACACAAGAGAAGAAGGUGGCAUUUGUAUUACGAGUGUUACAAAGGUUUGGAGGGGGUGGGUUUGAGAGACACAGUCCUUCACUUUGGGCUUAAGGACGAGCCCAAUUCAAAUCAGCCAUCGACACUACCAACCUCUUUCGUAGUUGAGUGAAAUUUACACUCCCCAAAUUACAAACCACACUAUUUUCAUUGAGGUUGUGGUUAGACCAAUGGGCUAUUUGAUUCGGAAUCAGUGUGAACCCAUCCCUGUCGUGGAACGAGCGUUUAGAAGUUGAGACGUGCUUCCAUUGUGAGGAGAUUAUGAGUUGUCAUGAUGACAAUUAGUUUCCUUAACUACUACGAGGGAGGAGGGGUCGUUCGGUGAAACAUGGCUUACGUGUGGGGAUUACUUAUCCAAAUGUGGUUUUAGGCCGUUUACUCGCGCAGAUGUCCCUAAAUGUUGAUACAAGAAUUUACCUUAGAUUUCUGCUAAGCAAUAGGAUGCUUAUGCUGUGAUUCCCUACAAGACGAUGACUAGCGAUCAGAAGGGCUCCCGGACAGAUUCAGGUGUUGCCUCUUCGACGCUCAAAUCAUGAUCCAUAGCGAAAGCAAUUGGAUUUCUUGUAGAGACUAGAGGUAAGCAUAUACCUGAGCGUAAGAGCUUAGAAUCCCUUUUAUAGGUGGAGAGACGUGCUAUCAGCUGGAGCAUGCUCGUUUCUAGAAGAUUUCCACACGUGCGUCCAAAAGUGAGACCCAUGAGCGCGCAUGAAUGGUCAUAGCUCGUUGGUGAGAUACAUAUGCUUAGUCAUGCAUAACAUAGUUGACGGUGGUCCCACUAACAAAAACGAAAAGGAAACAAAAGGUAAAGGUGCGGUGCGGUUGGAAAUGAAAGGAAAAGUAAAUGGUGCCGAGGCUAUGGUAAAGGUUGCAAAAGCUGCAGUUUGUUUGUUUGUUGAGAGAGUUGUUUUUCUUUUACCCUAAAGCUGCACAAUACAUACUACCAAAUUUUUGUUGUUCAUUGUUGUAGGAGGAUUAAAGUAUUUAUUUUAUAACUGAAUUAAGUUAUCUUAAUUGUUUAAAGUUGCAUCUCCUUGUAAAACAUGGCUAGAACGAAGUAGUGACAUAAACCAUGAGAUAAACAUAAUUUGGGCCGCAUGUGUCAAACUAUCAGCUUAUGGAUAAACAUUAGAAUAAUAUUCAAAUUUAUAUUUGGGCUCAAAUAUUGGUGUCGCAAAAAAAAAGGUCAUAUUAUUGUUUUUCUUUUAUUAUUAAGUAGUAUGAGCCAUUACUUACCAAGGUAGCUGAAAUUUUAAAAAGGUAAAUUUUUCUAUGGUAUUUGAUCUAUGACAAAUUGGAUAGUUGGUACCUAGUGUUUAGAAGACGACACUUUUGAUACAUCAAGUGUUUAUUUUGACAGUUUGGUACUCCCGUUAACUUUUCACUUCAAUAUGAGAGUAAUUUUUUUUAUCAUAAUGUGAGGGUAAAAUUGUCAUUUGGGUAUUAUUAAAAAAUAUAAACAUAAAAAAAACAUGUCUUUUGUGGAUUCAUUAUACAAUAUCGAGAUGAAUUUAUGUUUUGUUCAAAACAUACUUGAAUUUUGUAUUUAAGAAAUUUAACCGUUGUGAUCUAAAUAGUGACGAGACUACUCCAUCAAGAUAUAUGUAAUUGAUACACUGAAAGUCGUAUCAUGGGUGUUUAGAUCACAAAUAAAUAUUUAAGUAAUUUUAAAUACACACAUUUAAUCUCUCAUUGCACACCCUUUAUUUAAUACAUUACCCAUUUAGUUUCUUAUUUCAAUAUUAUAGUAAAUACACAUCCCAAACUGUCUAAAUACCCUCAAUAUCUAAAACUAAUAAUAAUCUGUUAUUUAAUAUAGUUAUUAUAUAUUUAUUAUUUCACAACUCUCUUUACGUAUUCUCUUUUAUUUUUUGUUAGAUAUAUUUGAUCGGGUAAGAAAUUUUUUCUUGAUAUUUUUCAAUUUAUAAUCAAAAGAGUAAUAUUAUAUUUAAACUCCAAAUCUCCAAUAUGAUCUCAAUCAGCUAGAAUUUGAAGAAAAAAAAAAUUUUGACAUACAUAAUUUUUUCAAAGUUAAGAAACUAGUAUUAUAUUUAAACACCAAAUCUCCAAUAUGAUCUCAAUCGGCUAGAAUUUAAAAAAAAAUAUAUAUUGACAUACAUAAUUUUUUUCAAAGUUAAGAAACUAGUAAAAGUACAAUAGCAUAAAAACUAGUUUUUAGUCUGUAAGAUAAAAACGAGUUUUUAGUCUGCAAGAUAAAAACUAAAGUUGAUAAAAAAAAAAACCAAAUGAAUCGGUAAAUAGUACAUGUGAUUAUGACAGUAGUCGAAAUUCAGGUGAUGAAUUUUGGAGAAGAAAUUUUUAUUUCUUUUCUUUUUAUGCGUAGUAAUAAUGGAGAAGAGUUAGGUUUUAGGGAAGAUGAAGUUUCUUUUUUCUUUUCUUUUUCUUUUCCUAAUAAUUGAUGGAUGUUUUUGUAAUCAAAACAUACCUAUAAAAUCUGAUGUGAAAUAUAAAAUAAUAAUGGUGUGUAUUAAGAGAUUAAAAAUGUGUAUUUAAAAUUUCUCUAAAUAUUUCUUAAACAUAAAAUUAAAUCAUGUCAAAUUCGAUCAACAUAACCCAGACUCUAUUUUUUUUUUUACAUUUUAUAUUUAUAAAUAGUACUUAUUUUUACCCUCAUAUUUAACAGAAAUCUCAAAAUGUCAAACUGAGCAUAAGUUAAGAUACUAAGGUGUCAUUUUUUUUGGUAACAUAAGAACCAUGUACAUUGUACAUGUACAACUGUAAGCACAUGCAGUAAAUCCAUAGUUUCGAUAAAACUAACCGACCAACCUCGAAAGUCCAACGAAACAUGGUAGCGCAAGUGAAUGGGACUUUCCUUCCGUUUUGACUUGCCUAGUCCCUAGAUAUUGGAUAGGGGAAUCCAACUGUAACAAGAAGAAGAAUGGCGGUCUCGGCUUUCAGAUCCUCCAGCAGAAGAAGCGAUCCCACCGGUGCCUCAACUUCAUCAUCAGCUAAACGGAGCACCGACAUAGACUCUAAGCCAAACCCUAAACCAAUCAGAAGAUCUAGAAGCGUGAGCACUUUCUCGAGGACUGCCACUUUUAACUCUCACAACAUUGACAAGAGAGACAACCCUCUCUUUUGGUCCUCCUCAGAUUCACCAACAUCACUUCACCCCAAAACCCUACACAUGUUCUCUAUAAGAUUCAUGAGUUCUUGUCUUCAUGAGCUUGCAAUUGAUGAAAUCCAUAAACAAAAAUAAAGACACCUGAGUUUUUAUUUUUUCAUUUCGUAUGUUGCUUGUGAUAACAUCAGAAACAUUCAAUAGUAAAUCUGUUGUGCAAACUCACUUAAUAAAAUAUUCAAACAUCUUUCUCUUCUGCUCUAGUCUAGAAAAGCAAUAUCAUUUUUUCAAUUCUAUUCGAUCUGGCUCUUUUUGUGAAGGCCGUGAAGCUCCUAAUUUCCUAAAGAUAGAGGAAAGAAGAAGAUAACAAUUUUCCCUCUACAAAAAAAAAGAUGACAAUUUUUUUAUUAUUAUAGAGAUGAAAUACAUAUCUAGAGAAAAAAUAAUGAAUUGAAAUAUGAAGAGAUAAAAAAUACCUAUGAAAAAUGACCAAUUGACGUUUACCAUAUUGGAGGUACCGUUUUGAUGUUUUCAAAAUUUGAAACUUAAAGUACCAAAGUUUAUAAGCAAGAAAAGAUGAGGUACCGUUACGACAAAUUUCUCUUUUUAUUAUAUAAAAUGAAUAAUAAUAAAAAACUCAAGGGUAAAUUGGUCAUUUUAUGAAUAUAAAACGGAGCUAACGGUUUUAGAUACCAAACUUCAGUCGAGGUAAGAACGUGAGAUACUAUUUUGAAGUUUUCUAAAGGUGAGAUACCAAAACUUUGCUUUGUUAAAAGGUGAGACAUUGUUUAUACAAUUUUCCCAUUUAUUAAAGAUAUUUUAGACAAAACAUAAUUUGGUAAUUUUCUGAGAGGGCGGAUCCGUGGCACCCAGAAUUAUAAUCAAUAUUAUAACCCAAAUUUUAUCCAUUAGAUCUAAUCGUAAUUAACGGUUGAGAUAAGUCAUAAAAAAUUUAAUCAUUAUUCUAUAAUAAUAGAGAUAAGAUUUUGACAAAUGGGUUCGGUUCAAGGCCAUUUAUUUUUACAUAAUUUUUGACACUCUUUCAUGGCCAUCAGAUUUUAAAAUUUUCAACUGUCUAGAUCACUUGCCAAUACAUAAUUAAAAGAAAACCAAAUCCAAUUCUAACUUUUCAAAAAUCAAAAUCAGAUCAUACACAAUAAAUAAAUAAAAUAAGAAGAAGAGGAAGAACGUAGAAUAUAUGAGUUGUUUGACACCAUCAACUUCCAAAAACAUGCAUCACCUUCCCAUCGACAUAUCCAUCCGUAUGAAAAAAAUACACAGUUUACAAUUCUUUUUUUUUUUUUUUUAAAAAAACUACCACAGUUUACAAUUGAAAUUUUCCAAGGAUUUGGAAUACUAGACAAAUAUUAACAUUCUAGAGCAAGCAGACAACAUUGAUAUUAACAUUCCAGAGCAACCAGGCAACAUUGAUAGGCACAUUCACCGACUAGGUGCAUAUUUCCAGCAGCCCCUUAGGGCGGGCGGCAAGUUCCGGAAGACACCCUUUCGGAGAACCACCCAUACGACGCCGUACGAUCGGCCAACGUCCACCACUGCCAACGGCGGCUGGAUCUCCAAGCUCGUCGAUCCCGCUCAGAAGCUUCUCACCUACAGCGCCCACCGCCUCUUCUCCACCGUCUUCCACAAACGCCUCCCUCCGCCUUCCUCAGGUUCGUCUCUCUCUCUCUCUCUCUCUCUCUCUCUCUCGUCGUCGUCNNNNNNNNNNNNNNNNNNNNCAAAUGUUUGAGAUUUCAGACUGUAUCAUCUCAUAAUGGCUUCUUUGUAACUUUUCUGUAAAGGAUCCUCCUGGAGUGCAAAAUGGUGCCAUUGAGCAAAGUACUGGUCCCAGAGCUACUUCUGCUGGAGACGGGGGGUUUACCUUACUUGAGCAAAUUUUGGAGCAGAAAACCUUUACCAGGCAAGUCGUAUAUAUUAAUCACAAUGUUUUUUCUUCUCUUCUGGGACUUUGAAAUUGCUUAGAUAUUAUAAUUGCAGCCUUCCAUGACAACAUUGUGUUUCUUAUGCUAUCCUCUCUGUGCUUAUUAAGCUGUACGUGUUUUUUCAUUGAAAACAACAAGAGGAUUACUAGAUUGCUUGAUGGUCUCUGACCAUUUUUAGGUGAAAAAGUAAGGACCUCCUUGAUGAAUACCAGUGGAAGACCACUAUGGUUUGUCCAAGGCUGAGUGAAGCUAGUAGGUUUUAUUGCUUUAAUAGCUUGAUUCUUUUUCAUAAAUCCUUGAUAUUUUAUAUAUUUUAAAUGACAUAAAUGGAAUGCGUUGAAACCCUUGGGGAAAUCUUAUUGUGCAGGUUUAGCCCUAUCUGUCACACAUCAUUCCUUGUUUAUUUGUAGUUUGUGGAAGCAUAGUGAUGUCUUUGCUUGUUGUUUUACUUUCGAUAUGACUGUUUCCUCCAAAUAUAUUUUCAUUCCCUGCAAUGCUUUAAUUACACGCAUAGAUUGGAAUUUGAACUUCUUGGGAUUGGUUAUUAUUAGAGCUUAACCUGCUUGAGGUAUCCAAUAAAAGGAACAAAUAGAAUAUUCUGCUGUAAUCGCAUCUGUGCCACUUCUGCUUUUCAUAACUUGCCUUAUUUAUUGUACAUGUUUGUCAUGGUGUUGAGUUUCAUGUAUGUUAAUUCCCUGCAGACCUGAAAUUGAUCGAUUGAAAGAGCUCUUGCAUUCAAGGACUGAUGAUAUACCUACUGAGANNNNNNNNNNNNNNNNNNNNNNNNNNNNNNNNNNNNNNNNNNNNNNNNNNNNNNNNNNNNNNNNNNNNNNNNNNNNNNNNNNNNNNNNNNNNNNNNNNNNNNNNNNNNNNNNNNNNNNNNNNNNNNNNNNNNNNNNNNNNNNNNNNNNNNNNNNNNNNNNNNNNNNNNNNNNNNNNNNNNNNNNNNNNNNNNNNNNNNNNNNNNNNNNNNNNNNNNNNNNNNNNNNNNNNNNNNNNNNNNNNNNNNNNNNNNNNNNNNNNNNNNNNNNNNNNNNNNNNNNNNNNNNNNNNNNNNNNNNNNNNNNNNNNNNNNNNNNNNNNNNNNNNNNNNNNNNNNNNNNNNNNNNNNNNNNNNNNNNNNNNNNNNNNNNNNNNNNNNNNNNNNNNNNNNNNNNNNNNNNNNNNNNNNNNNNNNNNNNNNNNNNNNNNNNNNNNNNNNNNNNNNNNNNNNNNNNNNNNNNNNNNNNNNNNNNNNNNNNNNNNNNNNNNNNNNNNNNNNNNNNNNNNNNNNNNNNNNNNNNNNNNNNNNNNNNNNNNNNNNNNNNNNNNNNNNNNNNNNNNNNNNNNNNNNNNNNNNNNNNNNNNNNNNNNNNNNNNNNNNNNNNNNNNNNNNNNNNNNNNNNNNNNNNNNNNNNNNNNNNNNNNNNNNNNNNNNNNNNNNNNNNNNNNNNNNNNNNNNNNNNNNNNNNNNNNAGAGGCUUAAGCUCACCAAUGAGUACGGAGGCUUUUCAAAACCCAUCAUCUUCCACAAAGAGGCCACUUCUGUUGGGUGAACCCAAGCAUACUCUAGCAAAAUCAUCAUCAGAAAAUGGAGACAAUGCAGUUCCUAGAACAUGUUUUUCAACUGUUCCGUCGCAAUCCAGCAAAGCGGCUUCCAAAAUCUUUGAGCAUCUCGAUAAGAUCAACUCUCCAAAGGAGAAAUCAUCUGAGCCCAAGUUACUUCCUAUGAGCGAUAGAUCACCAACUAAGUUGUCGCCCUCCAUGCUACGUGGUCAGGCUCUGAAAAGCCUGGAGGAUGUGGAUUCGUCGAAAUUCCUGGAAAAUCCCUGUUAUAAAAAUGGUAAUAACUUGGAUGUUUCAUCUAAUCAACUCAUACUAGAUGCUUCUUCUCAAAAGCAUGACAAUGUUAAAGAAAAUUGUCCAUCAAGGGUUCUUGCCCCCUGUGACAAUUCAAGUACAGUAACCAAUGAAGUUGAAUCCACAACAGAAAGGAAAGAUGUAAUGGUAAAGGUUAAACCUGCAGUUUCUGCUGCAUCAAACACUGUUGUUCAUCCUCCUGAAAAGAAACGGCCGUUCGAGAUGAGUGCUCAUGAGGUAUGGUUGUGCUUUUUCAUCUUUUGUUGUUUAGUGAUAAUCUUUGGUGCAGUGUCUCAAAGUUUAAAUUUUUUCGCCGUAGUUUUACUAUGAAUUAAAACUUCAGUGAAUUUUUGGUAUUAGAAAAGCAAUUAUCUUUAAUAUUGUUUUUUAUAGGUAUCUUAUAACACUUAAUUAAAUGAGUUGAUUCGUUUGAAUAUGGUCUGUAGUAUCUGGAGCUGGAUGACGAUGAUUGUUCCAUUAAUGGCCACGUGCCUGGUUCAUUUGCUGAUGGGAGAGUACAGGUAGAUAAGAUUGCAGCUGCUAAUCUGGAGAAGCCUAUAGCUUCAACUGAAGUCAAACCUCCUUCAUCUUUUGCAUUAAAUGAGAAGUCUGAUAGCAGAACGUCUGAUGGGUACGUACUUUGUCAGCAAAUGAAAUGUGAAUUUGUACUUACACGCCUUGCAAAUUUCUAAUUGUACUUGUAUGUUCCUUUUAUCUGCAGUGUAUAUACAGUUGCGCCUGGUGCAACAGGUACCGUACCAAAACCAGUGCAUACAGAUAAAGCUGAUAAGAAUAAUUCAGAUGCUGAAGUCCCUUUUAGGGUACCAGAAAUUCUUGUGUCAUCAUCAGCAGCAGCAGCAGCACCUACUAGCAUAUUUUCCACCACUUCUCAAGUUUCCAACAAUUUAGCAAGUCAAAGUUCUGUCAGCAGCAUGGCCCCCACUGCCAACACUAACAGUGGUAACAACAUUGCUGCUACUAGUGCUGUUACCACCAGCAAUCUUUUUAGCUCAGUUUCAGCACCAUCCUUUUCAGCCGAACCCUGUUCUAAGUUUUCAGUCUCUAGUGCAACUACGGUGACACAGGUACCUGAAAAUUCUCCCUUGGAAUUGUUAGGAGACAAGAACAAGCAAGAUGGCGGUUUUGCUAAUCUAAGCCGCACAGUUUUGCCUGGCACAUCUACUACCAGUGCAGGCACAGAAAAUAGUUUUGUGGGUGUUUCUGCUGCUGCGUCCUUCCCUACUGCCACCAAUCAGUCGGGCCCUAGUUUCAGUUCUGGUAGUGGAUCCGGUCUUUGUGUCCAGGCAUCACCUAAAUUGUUGUUCAAAUGUGAACCCUCAACUGCCUCAACUGCGUUAACAUCUGGAAGUUCUUCCUUGGAAUUCUUAAAUGAUAGGAACAAGCAAGGUGGGUCCUUUGGUACUGUAAGCAGUUCCUUGUUUUCUGGCACAUUUGCAACAAGUGCAAGCGCAUCAAGUAACAGUUUUGGGUUUUCUGCUGCUGCUUCCAUGCCUACCGUUACCGAUCAGGCUCCUGGUUCUUCUCUGUUUAGUGGUGGCAGUGGAACUGGUUCUGGUACCCACCUGUCCCUGCUGGGACAGGAGUUGCGGCUUCCACACAGAGUGCACCUGUUCAACCUGGCUCAUCAUCUUCCAGUUUGGUGUUCAAUUUUGUAGGAAAUACAGCUUUCUCUUCUGGGAGCUCUGCACUCAGUUCUUCUACCCCCUCUUCUGGAGUGAACAGCAGCUCCAGUACUGCUCCAAGUACCACAUUUGGUAGCGGGUGGCUACCUGCUACAUCGUCUAAAUUUGCUUCCACAGUAGACUCUACAUCUUNNNNNNNNNNNNNNNNNNNNUUUCUGCUCCAACUACCAACAGCGCAUCGGGGUUUGCAAUAUCCAAUGGUGCAUCAUCAACUGGCGUGUUCCCCUUUACGUCAUUUGCAACUACUGCCGCAUCUCAACCUGCAUUUGGUAACUCCACUCCUAUGGGCUUUUCUACAGCUCCGUCUGGUAAUAAUGAUCAAAUGAGCAUGGAAGACAGCGUGGCUGAGGACACUGUUCAUGCAUUACUACCCACAGUUGCAGCCUUUGGUCAACAGCCUGUCUCAGCUCCUCAAUCUACACCCACGUUCCAGUUCACCCAGCAACCUGUGUCAACCCCUCAAACCCCCUUUGUAUUUGGAGGUUCCUCCAAUGGCUUCCCGUUUCAGAGCCAACAAAACCAAUCCAACACACAGAAUCCUUCGCCAUUUCAGCCUGUCAAUAGUUUGGCCAACGCGCAGAACCCUUCACCAUUUCAGGGUUCAAAUAGUCUAGGUUUGCCCACCAGUAGCUUCUCACUGGGCGCCCCUGACAAGUCUAAUAGAAGGAUUGUGAAGGUUAACCGUAGCAAGAACAGGAAGAAGUAGUUGGAUUGGUUUACGAAUGAGGGCAUAACUGCCCUUGUCAGCUUCCAAAUAUCAGAUACAUUUACUUUUCCUUUCCGUUAUUCUUAGGUGAAAAUUUUCGUGGUUGCCAUGAGAGGGGUAUCCACAUUUUAUACCGGUUUUGUAGUUUGAACACUUGACCCAUUAUUUGUAACAUUACAUGUAUGCCUAUUUUAUUAGUAUAUGAUGUAUGUCACAGCCUUGUUGUGCUGUUCUCCACUAUUUUCUGUAGCUAUUUGUAACAUAAAUGUAAUGGGUCGGAUUGUGUCCUCUACAGGCUGCUACUGCUUUUACGCCAGCAAUUCGUUUAUCAAGUAUUUUCAGUCUUUGUAGAUUUUGUAUUUCGGGUGUUUGCUUCUACAAAUUGAUUGUAGGCGUAACUAGCUAGCGUCAAAAAGGUGAACCCAUACGCCCUCUAUUUUCUGUUAGAGACAAUUAAGGAUUGGCUGAAAUCAAAGCUAUAACCUGGUUGCUGUAUUGCAUCAGUUUAGGAUCUGCCAUAUAUUUGUAAUGAACUUUAUUACGUGUGUAACAGUAGUGUAUCAGUAGCAUAUUUUGCUGCAAUAGAAGUCUUAUACUUAUAAACAAAGGUAAUGAGGUGUAGGUGUCUUACAGUCUUACUCGAUCGCUUCCCAAGUCCUAACUACCUCUGUACUUCUCAAAUCAACCUAUUCCCUCCCUCUCCUCUUAAUGGAAUAGAACUUGAAUAGGGCCUCGAAAAUUUAUUAAUUUUUCAGUAAUCUAUUCAUAGAAAAUUCCAUAAAAAUCAUUGUAUUUUGUUUUACGGCUAGCGCCGGCACUGUGUCCUAAUUGUCACUUCAAUCGUCAGUGGCAUUCUCUCAAUGUCCACACAAAUCUUCCGGCCUAACUACCGUAGCUCCCUUUGCUGGAGUUUAUUUUGUUGCUCAGACACAGGUGUCACAUCACAUGACAUCUAUGCCUUUCAAUAAUCCACAGACCUUAUGGUGGACCUCUCCAUGUCUAUAUAUAGGGACUGAAUGUAUGUUUCUCAUACCGGUAAACAGUCUCAUGUCAUUAGGUUCUUCCUCUUUCUCUUUGCAAAACGUCUUUUGUAUUUCAUCAAUUCGUAAAAAUCCUCUCUGUUACUCAUUUUACAAAAAAUAAUAUUGUCUUCUUCUUGUAUACUCCUGAUUACUAUAAAAUUUAUUACUUACAUAUUGGUCCUCUUUUGUUCCGAGGCUCAUGUAAAAUGGUCUCUACAGGCCUUCAUUUUCUUCCGAGUCCAUAGUCCCUUAUGCACUACUCUCAUCUGUUCACUCGUCUCUCUAGCACAAUCGCCUAGGACCCUCCUCCAUUUUGGAUAGUUUAGGAUCCACUCUUGGCACUCCUUCGAUUAGCUCAUGCA
RNAcentral lists this long non-coding RNA (54165 nucleotides) under Fragaria vesca (wild strawberry). Its description in RNAcentral is "long non-coding RNA (FVES_LNC003674)". Lineage: Eukaryota; Viridiplantae; Streptophyta; Magnoliopsida; Rosales; Rosaceae. The record is from RNAcentral.